UGAAGCUGAGUUGAUCGCCACCGUGACCCGGAGUUGGUAGAGAUCGGCCUGUGAUCUGUUGCCGUGUCGUUAGAAUAAAAGUCGUGUGCGGUUGGUGAUGUGUCCGUGAGUGUGUGUUUAGUUUCUGUCCUGUCGUUGUGUCCUGCUAUGGCGAGCUAUCCGAUGUAAUAAGCAUUUGGCACUUGUGCUUGUUUUUCAAACCAUGGAUCGUGAUGAGAACCUCUGUACUGUGGUGCAAUCCUUUCAUCUAUGCGAAUGGUCUUUAUUGUCUACUCGUAUAUCUUAAUCGGUGCGGUUUUCUGGAACCUGCCUACACCAGAUUAAGCAAAAACAAUUAAAAAUACUAAAGAAAUCUGCAAAUAUGAAACUUUACCGUAACAAGCAAUGUCUACUGUAUGUCGAGGUGUGUUUUCGUAUCUAUACUAAACCUAUCCUACAGCGACCCGAUCCUAAACCUAUCCUACGGCGGCGGCGCCCGACGUCCUUCGUCCAUCGUAGAAGGACUGACCCACAUGGAACACAAGGCCUUGUCGCCUUUCAUGCCUUGCUCAUUCUUGCAGGAGUCCGCGCCGUGAGGUCCAUGAUGGAAAUGGUGUCGCUCGCCCUGUUGUCGUCCCACCUUGCUGCCGGAUAGUUCGUCGGCAACGCAUAGGAGGCGCAACUGGUGUUGUUCUCCUUCGCGAUCCCCUGGAGCUGGGCCUCGAUGACGGCCGCUUCCUGGCGAGCGACGGCUUCAGCGCGGACGACAUCGUAGAUGGCACGCUGCUCCGCGACGAAAUUGGGGUUCGCAUCGGCCAUAGUCGCCACGGCCUCCUCGCUCGCCGCAGAUCUGGCCCUCCGUCAGCCGGUGCUGCUCCAGGAGGAACAGGUUAUACCGUUGUUCCUCCUGCGCCCGCUGGACGCCGAAAGGCGCUGACGCAAGCUGCAUCUCCGUCAUGGCGGCAUUGUAGUGCUCUUGCGCAUGCUCCAUGGUGAAGCCGGCGUGCACAGGAGGUGCUGGAGCCGGGGCGGUGUCGUCGGAGCCCGUCUUCAUCGUGGUGUCGUCCUCGUCAUCGGACACCUCGGGAGAGCUGGCCGGCAAACCGGUCUCGAUCCGCCUGGCACGGGGGCAGCAAGGGCGGCCACCACGUGCUUCAUCUCAGUGGAAAGGUUCUCCCACAAAGCUUCGCCAAGCUUCGCCGCUUGCAGUCAUGGCAGAUGCAAUGCAAGGGAGUAGGAUGUGGAGCGGCUUGUCUUGGCAUAGAGUUGGUCGGGUGUGGCCGCCUUUAAAUAGCGAAUUUCAGUGAGACCAACCGUUCGGGUGCGUCAAUGCGCAGCGGCGGAGUGGGUUUCACAGCCGUUAAGCCUAUUUAAUGGCGGCUUACGGACGGACGGGCCAUUCAACGGGCGUGGUAGAUAUCCGUCCCGUCCCAUCCAGUAAUGCGUCUUCGGCAUUGAACAGGCGCAAACGUGUCGCGGGUUGUGCCCUCGUCCGGCGUGCCGUUUCAAUGACGGUGGCAAUGAGAGGUCGCGUCCAUCCUGAGCCGUUUUUAAUGUGGUGUGGUGCGCGCGACAGCGGAAUGAAUGUGGACAGCUGGCGCCGGACGGGAACACGCACGGCGAGGAAGGAGGGGGUUUGGGUGGACCAGGCGGUCAGAAGCGGGUGUGGCAGCGGUCCGAACUCUCGCAAAACUCCCCAUGGUUGUCUUCGGUUUGCAGAAAAAAAAACAUCUGCAGAUCGCUCUACGGAUCAAUACAGGUCCGCGAUAGCUUCUACGAUGAAGAUGCAAUUGUGCUAGCCUGACCGAGUGAUGCACACAAUCUUUGACCGAUAUUGAUUUACUAUUUAAAAGUUCAUGUAAAAACAAUAAAGUUCAUAAGAAAAUGCCAUACAUGGCUGCCCCAACGGUAAAUAUAAAAAACACAGAAAUUAUUUUUUCAUGCAUCUUAAAUCCUAGUAGGUUGCUAACAAUUCGAUUGAACAAAUUUCGAGAGAGAUCAUCUCCCGUCGAAAACCGUGGGCGCCUUAUCCUCCUCUUUUUGUAGCAAUGACUACAUAUGGGAUGCCCUGAAAAUAAGUUGUAAUUUUUUGGAACAAAAUUAUUACAAGUGUUUCAAAUGGCCCAAUGCGUGUAAAUUCUCAGAAACUUCAACUUUGGAUGCACCCUCACUAAUCACUUUUCAAACAUAUUCAUACUACUUGUGGGUGGAGGUAGACUAAAAGCUAUAUGGACGUAUCACCAUAAUAAUUUGGCAAGCGAGCAGAAGGAAUAAAAGGCCGGAUGAACUCCUCAUCCCAACAAAAGCAACACCUAGUGCAUUCUUGCCAAUUCUUUUCUCCAGACUAGGUAAUUGUCCGUGCGUUGCAAUGGGGAUAAGAAAAAAAGUAUGGAUGCACUAAUUAAAGGGUCGUCAUAUUUUUACAUAAGCAUCACAGUUCUACGAUUUCCACCCACCCACCUUGUGCCGAGCACCCUCGUAUAUACUCAUCCUCCUUACCACCCACCAUCCCAUUCCACACGACAAGUAGACAAGGCAUCCCUUUUUCCUCUCUCCCCACCCUUUACUGGACAUUAUUUUUAAUUAUCCGACAUGCAAAAAUCAAUAAAUCAUUCAUCUCAAACAUGUAUUUGUAGGAUCUUCGUGCACAUCAAACAACACUGUCCACUAUUGUUUUACGUUAAAUCACUCUUCUUCGAGUAGGCUAAGCAGUCUCAGUGGAGUAACUUCGCCCCUUGUCCCUCCAAAGCAGGUCCAUGCAGCUAAGCAACCCUUGACACGCGAAAAAGAAAACACAGAGGAAAACAUGCAACCAAACAAGGUCUCGCAGGACAAAAUAACCUGGUGACUUGUGUGAGUGCCUACAAAAAAAUCAUGUGCAGGAAGGAGAGGGGGAUGGUGGAUAGAAGAACCAUCAUUAUAUCAACCUACCAUUCAAAGCUCAAAGAAGUUUUUAGGAAGAAUACAAAAUAUAAGUAAAUCUCAAUAGGUAAAGUUAAUGGCAAGGUACAUCGUUUUUCUUUCAAAAGGAAUAUCCACGGCCCAUCAUUUGUGAUGCACACAUCCAUCUUUUAUUGAAUAAAAUUCAAAUGUUCAAGGGAUUUAGAAUAAUAGAAAAGGAAAAAACUACAACCUCUAGCAAAAAAGGAUUACAUGACACGUUCACAUAAUUUACUAAAGAAGCUGUGUAAUGUUAUAACACACACACCGAAGGUAAUAAAGAAAACAAAAUACCCCCUACUUUCCACCAAUUGUAACAAUCUUUGAAGUCAUUAUUAACAAACUAAAAGGCUUUGGCCUAUGCAUUCAAUUGUUCUACAUGAAUAAAGGGUUGUCAUUGCGUACAAUUUGAUGUGUGCAAAUAAUAUACAUUUUAUAAUCAUGACACAAUCUAAAUCCUAAUAGCACUGGUAGCUUCAACUUGAGAAUUGAUGGGAGUUAUAAUAUGGCUUUGAAGGCAAAUACCAGCUCCUUGCUAUAGUUCUUCCUUGCAACCUGCACCAAAACCGACAUGGCAAACACAACUUUGAAGCCCACAACCAUGACACCACUUUUGCAAGUUGCUCAAAACACGAACUCGUUUGCAUAGAACAUCCAUUUCUCUAGUGGACAUUUCCUGUACUCAAUAUUCCACCAACUUCUGUAGAUUUGGAACCAAAAAAACCAAGCUAUCUUGCUUCUACUAAACCAAGAACGGAGAAACACCUAAUCAACAUGUUGACUACUUUCCUUGGACUGCUAAUAUCUUGUUAUCUUGUUAGCGUAUCAAGAUUUUAGAUAAUAUGAACAGAAAUAUCACUAACAACAUAAUUUCGGGAGGAACAUAUAUUGUGUUACUAUUGAUGUGCGUACCCGAUGGUGGUGAAAAAACUUGUAGUGAAAGUGUAAAAACACAAUAGCAAGCAAGUAUUCCCUACCCCUACUAAUUAGAAGAGGAAUAACAAAUCAUUAAAUAUAAAUUUUAAUGAUUAAAUAAACAAGAAACUCUAUGGGUCAUGCCUAUGUAAAGUGAAUAGUUUUUUUGGAAAGGAUCCCACAACCCCUGUCAUUAUACCUUGACUCUAAAGCUUAAGCCUUGUUUUCAGCAUGUCAACUCGACAUACCAUGCCUUUUCCAAAUGCGUCUACAGUCGAUAUGAUGCAUCGAUUGUUAUUUUGCCAUGUCUUGAACUAAACAGAUAUGUUUGCUUACAUAAGCAUGUUACUGCAUAACCACAAAACCCAAUGCAAGGCAAUAAGCAACAAUAACAUGAGUAAAAGAACUACGUUCUAGAAAACUUGACAUACUGGGAAAGUCACUUCUCAGCCUGAGCUGAAAUGAGCUCGGGUGAACAGUCAAAUUGAAUUUAUUUAAAAAAAAUCUAAUUUUCUUAUGACGAACAUUGAAAAAUGUUCUAAGAGCUUGCAAAAUUUCAUCAUGGAAUCACAUUUGAGGUUGUCGCGACAGUAAAAAUUCAGUAUUCUAAAAUGCUUUCAAACGUAGCAUUUUUAGAGUAUCGGUUUUAUUUUUUGCCACGCCUUCCAGGAAUGUGAUUCCAUGAUGAAAUUUUGCAAGCCCGUAGAACAAUUGUCAAAAAUAAUUCAGAAUUUUUUAAUGUGUUUUGAUUUUUUUUAUUUUACCGUUCACCUGGGCUCAUUUGAGCUUGGCUGAGAAACUCCGCGUCCGACAUACUGUUCAUCUUAUAGCACACCCCACCACAUAGCAUUUUCCAUUUGAAGCAUUUUGCAUUUCUUGUAAAUUUUGAAGGCUGAGUUGCACUUAGCUGCACACAUGAAGGCGACAAUGGUGCCAGGGAUGCUAUGACCACAAAUUCCAGGAAUACCAGCAGUAAUGUGGUGAUGAAUUCAAACUCCCAUUGAUCCAUCAUUCCAUAUCAAAAGUCUUAACUUAUGUAGUACAUAACCAUUAUGGCAUACCUUCCACUAGGAAAAAGUAUGAAUGUACAAAAAAGUAGAUAAAAUAUUUAGAAUUUUCACAACCGCAUCUCUUAGUUUUGAUCCACACAUUGUUGGCUACGCAUGUUUUGUGAAAAAAGUAUGGAUAUUGGGAUGGAAUUCUAUAUGCAUGCUGACAUGUGUCUCUUUAUACAUAAAGUCAAUGGCGGAAUUCAGAAUCUGAAGGAAAGACAAUGCUAGAUUUUAGGCAGUCAUGACAAGAUGCAAAUUAAGCUCAAAGCAAGUCGUAUUCAAACACAAAUUAGUUCCUUUCAAGCCUUUUCUCAAAGCAAGAAGGCAUGUUUGAGGAACUCCAUUUUUAUUUUAUUUGGGGAAAGAAACUGUUUCCUUGAUAAUCAUCAGAAAUCACACAUAUAACAAUUCCAUCAACCAUUGCAGAUCUACUCAAUCUCAGAACCGUGCUGAUUCUUGCAAGACAAACUAGUUUUUGAAAUGCAUGAAUAUAUUUGCAAUUUCAUAAUAAUUUUUUGACUGAACAAACCUUUUUGAAGCAUUGAUUUUCGAAAUUUGAGAACAAUUUCUGAAGUGGUGAACUUUUUUCAAAUUUUGGUGAACAUAUUAAAUAAAUUCAUGCCAACAUUUUCAAAUUCGCCAACAUUUGUUUCAAAUUCAUGAACAUUUUUUGCAUAUGUUAACUUUUUUUCGAAAUUGUGAACAUUGUUUGAUUUCCCGUUUUUUUAAAUCAAAAUCAUGACUAUUUUCUUGAAUUCCGAACAUUUUAUGAGGUUCUGAAUAUUCUUUUAGUUUUUGAAAUUUUUUCAAAAACAUCAUCUUUUUUUAUUUCCCUAAUGUGUUUUACAAUUAGGAACUUUUUGAAUUCCUUAAUAAAUUUGAACAUAAAAAUACGAAAAACAAAAACCGGAAUGAAGGGAGGAGCUGCGGGUGCGCGCGCUGUGUGUCCAGCCUGUUAUGCGGAAAAGAAAACCCUAUUUGCCGCUCUUUGCAAUAAGUUGUUGCGGUUUCGCAUAAACGAGCGAGCGACCUUUCGGGGUGGGCCGACCCGUUUAGAGUUGCAGCGAUACCGGUUUUGGGAACAUUUUAUGAUGUUUCUAGCCUAUUUAUUCUCGUUUAGGGAACGUUUUAUCUUUUUCAUUUAAUAUUUUUCUCUUCUUUUUCGUUUUUUUCAUUUUUUCCUUUUCUUGCCUUUUUUCUUUUCUUCCACCUUUUCAUUUUUCUUUUUCAAAAUUAUUUUCAGUUUUUCAACAAAUGUUCCGGAAUUUAGGAAAUGUUUGAAUUUUCCUAAUUUUGUUCACAUUUUAGAAAAAUGGUUCUGUUUUCAAAUUUUGUUCAGAAAUUUAAAAAAAGUUCGGUAUUUCAAAAAUUAUUUGCCUGUUUUCAGAAAAUGAUUGCAUUUUAAAAUUUUGUUCACAAACUAAAAACUCAAGGAUUUCAAAAGCUUGUUCCCAUUAUUCAAAAUUUGUACGCACAUUCAUAAAAUGUUCAUGCUUUUUAAUUUGUUCACAAACUCAGAAUAUGUUUGCAUUUUAAAAAUAUUUGGAAAUAAAAAUGUUCCCGUUUUUCAAAAUUUUCACAAAUUAAACAAAAUGUUAUGUUUUCGAAAUUGGUUCACGAAUUAAAAAAUUGUUCAUGUUUGCAAUUUUUUUACCAAAUCAGAAAAUCUCCGGGGGGAAUUUUGAUGCUUUUUAUUUUUGUAAAAAUUGUUCAUAAUUUCGAAGAAAACGUUCAUGUUUUCUCUUUUGUUUAUUGAUUUUCAAAAAAUGUUUACAAAAGUUUAUGUUGGAAAUUUCGCGAACUGGUUUUGAAGUUUUGUCGCCGCUGUUAGGUUCUUUAAGAUUCGUGUUGUAGUUCUUUCAGAUGGGGACUUGGUCUCGGUGGCUAGCGCAGCGUUUGCAUCUUCACGAGAUGGUGGGUUCGAUCCCUAACUUGAACUGUUUUGCGAAAUUUUACCGCGCCAAGCGAAUGCACCUCUAAUGGGCCGACCCAGGGUAAGCUGCGCCCUGUGCGAAGCCGCGAUGCCCGAUGGAGCCCAAAGUGUGCUCUAUGGGCCGGCCCCUUUAGCGAAUAUUUUUUUCGCCCGCUGUUCUCACCUGGUUUUUAUGGUUAUCUGUAGUGUUGACCACGUUUAUAGUUGACUUUUAGCGGACUAUUAUGUAUAUGAAAAAAAGUUUGUGGAUAUGAAAAGGUUUAUUUUCUAAAAUAAAACCUCAAAUUUGAAAAAAACAUUCAUAAUUUUGAUAAAGUUCAUGAAUUAAAAAAACACAAUUUCGAAAAGAAUCAUGAUUUUGGACAAAUUUAAUAAUUAGUGGGAAGUGAUUCUGUUCGGCCGGCUGAAAACGCGUCGCGCGUCCACCACCUUCUCUAAGCUACACAUGUCUAUGUUGGCCCAUGAACUUUAUCUCCUCCCCUUCCCAAUCUUAUCGCACCUUCUUUCUUCUUCAAAGGUACUACACACCUGCAACGACCAUGGCUAGAUGGAGCGCGCGUGUGUGCUACGGGGUGCGGCCGUGGCUGGGCUGCACACGCGCGGCGCAGAGGGCCCGCCCUGAGCUUGUGCUUCUCCAUGUACAUGGCCAUGGUGUCCAGGCUCGAAUAUAGAGAUGCCUUUUUGUUUUGCAACAACGCCUUUUGAUGUGGCUUUUUGCAACAUCUGCAAUGUUACAAAUGUCGGCGACGAAUGACGGUUGUGGUUUUGCGACAUGCAUCGACAAUGGUAGCAGUGCUUCUGCACAUCAUUUCGUUGCAAAAAUUUCUACAACAUUCCCUAUGCAGCUAAAGUUCUUCCGCAACAUCAGUGGUGUUGUGAAAAAAAGUGAGAAAAAAAUCUGCAACAUGUCCUCUGUUGCAAAAGUUUUGUGCAACAUGAGCUAAUGGGCCGGCCCAGGGUAAGCUGCGCCCUGUGCGAAGCCGCGAUGCCCGAUGGAGCUCAAAGUGUGCUGUAUGGGCCGGCCCCUUUAGCGAAUAUUUUUUUCGCCCGCUGUUCUCACCUGGUUUUUAUGGUUAUCUGUAGUGUUGACCACGUUUAUAGUUGACUUUUAGCAGACUAUUAUGGAUAUAUAAAAAAGUUGUGGAUAUGAAAAGGUUUAUUUUCUAAAAUAAAACCUCAAAUUUGAAAAAAAAACAUUCAUAAUUUUGAUAAAGUUCAUGAAUUAAAAAAACACAAUUUCGAAAAGAAUCAUGAUUUUGGACAAAUUUAAUAAUUAGUGGGAAGUGAUUCUGUUCGGCCGGCUGAAAACGCGUCGCGCGUCCACCACCUUCUCUAAGCUACACGUGUCUAUGUUGGCCCAUGAACUUUAUCUCCUCCCCUUCCCAAUCUUAUCGCACCUUCUUUCUUCUUCAAAGGUACUACACACCUGCAACGGCCAUGGCUAGAUGGAGCGCGUGUGUGUGCUACGGGGUGCGGCCGCGGCUGGGCUGCACACGCGCGGCGCAGAGGGCCCGCCCUGAGCUUGUGCUUCUCCAUGUACAUGGCCAUGGUGUCCGGGCUCGAAUAUAGAGAUGCCUUUUUGUUUUGCAACAAUGCCUUUUGAUGUGGCUUUUUGCAACAUCUGCAAUGUUACAAAUGUCGGCGACGAAUGACGGUUGUGGUUUUGCGACAUGCAUCGACAAUGGUAGCAGUGCUUCUGCACAUCAUUUUCGUUGCAAAAAUUUCUACAACAUUCCCUAUGUAGCUAAAGUUCUUCCGCAACAUCAGUGGUGUUGUGAAAAAAAGUGAGGAAAAAAAUCCGCAACAUGUCCUGUGUUGCAAAAGUUUUGUGCAACAUGAGCUAUGUUAUAAAAGGUUUCUGCAACAAGACUUUUAUUGCAAAAGUAGAGGAUGACAGUCAGCCGCUAGAUUGUUCUAUAUCUGAUGGUGCACGAGGCGGCGAAUCUUUAUAAAAAAAAUCCGCCGGCCAAUGCAUAGCACUCCCCAUAAUUAGUAAGAAUUUCACAAAUUUUGAAAAAGUUCAUGGCGCGAACUGUUUUUGCAAAAUUUUACCUCACGAAUCGAAGACACCGCAAAUGGGACGGUCUAGGGUAAGUUGUCCCCUGUGUGUCACAUCCCUAGUUCUGGUAUGACCUAGACUAGCUACUCAUGUGUGCAUCAUGUUUAAAUUUCAAUGAAUUUGAAAUGGGGACAUGUGAAAGCCUCAGAAAUCAUUUCUGAAAAUGACCAAGAUAAAAAUUGCUUCAAAUAGGUCUAAGAAAAUGUUCAUGUUUCUCUAUGAAAAUAUUGGACAGAGGUAAAAUUCAAACCAAUAUUUUCAGAAGCUCAUCAAUAUUUAUUUUGGACAUUUGAGUUAAUUCAAUAAUUGUUUGCAUUGGAGUUAUAUUUGUUAUAUAUUAAAUAUAACUCCAAUAACUCUGAAAGUUGGUAAGUGGCUUUGAAUACUUUUUAAAUGGCCACAUAGUAAUUUUCAGAAGUUUAUGAAAUGAUCUGGUAUUUAAAUAAAAUCAAAACCAAUUGCAGAAAAUAGAAAACAUAAAUAAAUAGAAAACCAGAGAGAGAGAAAACCUACCUGGCGCCUACCUGUGCGGCCUGCUGCUCAAGCCGGCCCAGCCCAUCUCCACCUCCCCUGUCGUCUUCCUCCUUUUGCCAGGAGGACGAAGGGCGCGUGCCCAGCCCGCGACACCACACGCCGGCGGGGUUGACCCUCUUUAACCGAGGUUUGACCUAUUGGGGAUCGUUGCAGAAAUUAAAACAUUUCUACGCAUCACCAAGAUCAAUCUAUGGAGAAACUAGCAACGAGAGAGAGGGGAGUGCAUCUUCAUACCCUUGAAGAUCGUGAUGCGGAAGCGUUACAAGAACGCGGAUGAAGGAGUCGUACUCGCAGCGAUUCAGAUCGCGGUUGAUUCCGAUCUAAGCGCCGAACAACGGCGCCUCCGCGUUCAACACACGUACAGUCCGGGGACGUCUCUUCCUUCUUGAUCCAGCAAGGGAAGAGGAGAAGUUGAGGGAGAGCUCCGGCAGCACGACGGCGUGGUGGUGGAGCUUGCAGUUCUCCGGCAGGGCUUCGCCAAGCACUACGGAGGAGGAGGAGGUGUUGGGGAGGGAGAGGGCUGGGCCAGCGGAAGGGGUGCGGCUCCCAUGCGCCUCCCCACUAUAUAUUGGGGUGGAGGGGGCUAGUUACUUGCCCUCCAAGUCCAUUGGGGCGUUGGCAAAGGUGGGGGAAAGAAAUCUCAUCAUUUCCCUUCCCCACCGAUUGUUAUCCCCCUUUUUUAGGGAUCUUGAUCUUAUCCCUUCGGGAUAUGAUCUUAUUCCUUCUAAGGGGGGAUCUUGGUGCGCCUUGACCAGGGGUGUGGGGCCUUGCCCCCACUACCCACGUUCAUGUGGGUCCCCCGUGCAGGUGGGCCCCACUCCGGAACCUUCUAGAACCUUCCCGGUACAAUACCGAAAAAUCCCGAACAAUUUCCGGUGGCCAAAAUAGGACUCUCAUAUAUAAAUCUUUACCUCCGGACCAUUCCGGAACUCCUCGUGACGUCCGAGAUCUCAUCCGGGACUCCGAACAACAUUCGGUAACUGCACACUAAUUCCCAUAACAACUCUAGCGUCACCGAACCUUAAGUGUGUAGACCCUACGGGUUCGGGAAUCAUGCAGACAUGACCGAGACAGCUCUCUGGCCAAUAACCAACAGCGGGAUCUGGAUACCCAUGUUGGCUCCCACAUGUUCCACGAUGAUCUCAUCGGAUGAACCACGAUGUCAGGGAUUCAAUCAAUCCUGUAUACAAUUCCUUUGUCAAUCGGUACGUUACUUGCCCGAGAUUCGAUCGUCGGUAUCCCAAUACCUCGUUCAAUCUGGUUACCGGUAAUUCACUUUAGUCGUUUUGUAAUGCAUGAUCCCGCGACUAACUACUUAGUCACAUUGAGCUCAUUACGAUGAUGCAUUACUGAGUGGGCCCAGAGAUACCUCUCCGUCAUACGGAGCGACAAAUCCCAGUCUCAAUUCGUGCCAACCCAACAGACACUUUCAGAUAUACCUGUAGUGUACCUUUAUAGCCACCCAGUUACGUUGUGAUGUUUGGUACACCCAAAGCAUUCCUACGGUAUCCAGGAGUUGCACAAUCUCAUGGUCUAAGGAAAUGAUACUUGACAUUAGAAAAGCUUCUAGCAAACGAACUAUACGAUCUUGUGCUAUGCUUAGGAUUGGGUCUUUUCCAUCACAUCAUUCUCCUAAUGAUGUGAUCCCGUUAUCAACGACAUCCAAUGUCCAUGGUCAGGAAACCGUAACCAUCUAUUGAUCAACGAGCUAGUCGACUAGAGGCUCACUAGGGACAUGUUUCGGUCUAUGUAUUCACACAUGUAUUACGAUUUCCGGAUAACACAAUUAUAGCAUGAACAAUAGACAAUUAUCAUGAACAAGGAAAUACAAUAAUAACCAUUUUAUUAUUGCCUCUAGGGCAUAUUUCCAACAUGACCUCCCCUGGCUCACUGACGUGUGGGCCCAAGGCCCUGACUAAUUAGUGUUAGGAUUAAAUUAGGGUUAGCUAACUUGGUUAACUAGAUGUGACACUCACAUGCGGGUCCCAUUAGUCAGUUUGACCUGGCCAGCGUCUGUUGAGUUGCUGAUGUCACACUAAUGUCAGGCUGACACAGUAAAUCAUUUUCUGUAUUAAAAGUAAUUCAGAAAUUCCAGAAAAUAGUUAAAAAAUUUAAAAAUCAUAGAAAAUAAUCUAUAGCUCAGAAUGAAAAGAUUUAUAUAUGAAAAAUUAUCAGAAAAAUCCAAUCUAUCUGUUUAUGGCAUUUUCAUGCAUGUUUGAACAACUUAUUCCUGCUGAUCAGGUCAAAUCAAUUAAAUGGCAUUUAAACAAUUACAUAUGGAGUUUGAUUUUAAACCUAGGGUUCAAACCAACUUCAUUUAAAUCGUUGCUAGUUGCAUUAGCUCAAAGCAGAGCAUGUUGCCAUGUCAUGAUCAUGCAUCAUAUUGUUGCAUUGCAUUGAUUGUGUUUAUUCUUUGUUUGUCGGUGCUUGUCCCCUCUUAGUAGACGAGGUUCCGACGAUGAGUUCGAUGACACCGAUGAAGAGCUAUACUAUCUUCAGAAGUGCCAGGCAAGCAAAACCCCCUUGUUCAUUCCGAUACAAACCCACUCUAUCGCUUCUGCUCUCUUUUACUGCAUUAGGACAACAACGAUUCAACGGUUACAUGUUGCAGUAGUUGAACCCCUUUCCUCUGCAUGACCUGUCAUUGCCACAGUAAAUAGGUGAAACCCACUAGCAUGAGUAGGAGUUGUUUGAGCCCUGAUGUGCCUACUCAUUCAUGCUUGUUGUCAUGCCUGCUACUGCUUAGAUUUGAGUCAGGUCUGAUUCAUCGGGGAUGAAUUGGUAUGUGGUGAACAUGUCCUACUGUUGAGAGCUAAGUGUGUGAACACGAUUUGGUAAAGGUAGCGGUGAGAUGCCAUGUCGGAGUACAUGGUGGGUUGUCUCAUUGAAACCGUCCUCAGGAACUGAGUUCUGUGUUUGUGAUCCAUGAACAGCUACUACCACACGUUGGGCCCUGAAAUAUGACCCCGCUCGACUUAUUAACCCCCAUGUCCUCUGUCCAGGAGUUGCAAGUAGUUUCUGGUGUUUGUACUAUGCUGGAGGUCGUGCGCAGCGCUGACCCGAGGGGUGGGCUGUGAUGCGGUAGGCACAUGGCACGGUGUACCGGGAUGCCCGUUUGGUGCCUCGAGAACCCUGCACACAUUGUUCGGGGCUGUAAGUGGAAACCUCGGCCGGACUCCCUUCGGAUGGAACCUGAAUAGGCGAUAAACCUCGAAUAGGGACUUGUGUGGUUAGUCAGGUCAUGGUCUACACCCACGUCGGCUUUCGCUUGAAGUCCGCCGAGCACAUGUCGUGUGUAGACGCUAAGUGGUGGAAACAUGUGUGAAGAAGUACACCCCUGCAGGGUUAUAAAUGAUCUAUUCGAAUAGCCGCGUCUGCGGUAAAGGACCUCUGGGUUGCCUAUACAGUUCAUAGACAAGUGAAAGUGGAUACUCUAAAAUGCGCAAGAUAAGCGUGAGUACUAUGGAUGGCGUUCUUGUAGGAAGACGGGAGCGGACCCAUAGUGGUGUAUUGAUUGGUGAAUAUGUGGAAUCGUGUGCGCCACCUCAAAAGAGUUACUUGCAGUCCUAGUUUAGGAUAGCUACCGAGUCAAAGCUGGCUUGCUGCAGUUAAACUCCACUACCCCUUUGUUGAUACCGAUGCAUAUGUAGUUAGUUCUGAUGUAAGUCUUGCUGGGUACAUUUGUACUCACGUUUGCUUAAUUUAUAUUUUUGCAGAGAGACUUCAGUCUCGCUAGUAGUUCCGUGUGGACUUCGACGUUUAGCUUGUUAACUCAGCUACGAUCUUGUGCCCUCGACAGGGUCUUGUAGAUAGUCAGGCUUCUCAGCCUUUUCUUUUGUAGUUGUCUGUACUCAGACAAGUUAAGCUUCCGCUUGUGCUUGUUGCUUGUAUGACUUGAAUGCUGGGUCAUCAGACCCAUGUUUGUAAUACUUGGCUCCUCGAAGCCUAAUAAAUAAAUACUUUGAGUCAUAGAGUUAUGUUGUGAUGCCAUGUUGUAUUUGCACACAUCGAGCAUAUUGUGUAUAUGAUUUGAAAUGCUUGGUAUGUGUGGGAUCCGACAACCUAGUUGUUUAUCCUUGGUAACCUCUCUUACUGGGAAAUGUCUCCUAGUGCUUCCACUGAGCCAUGGUAGCUUGCUACUGCUCCGGAACACUUAGGCUAGCCGGCAUGUGUCCUUCUUCGUUCCUGUGCGUGUCCCUUCGGGGAAAUGUCACGCGGUGUCUACCGGAGUCCUGUUAGUCUGCUACAACCGGAUUCUCCGGAGUCAUGUUAGCCUAGCUGCUACAACCCGGAUUCACUCGCUGAUGACCGACACAUUCGUUGCUGGGUCAUGUAUGCCUGUCCCUGUAAGUUAGUGCCACUUUGAGUUUACGACUAGUCAUGUCGGACCGGGUUCUUUGUCAUAUGGAUGCUAGCGACACUAUCAUAUACGUGAGCCAAAAGGCGCAAACGGUCCCGGGCCAGGUAAGGUGGCACCCGUGGGAAUACCGUGUGUGAGGCCGCAAAGUGAUAUGAUGUGUUACAUGCUAGAUCGGUGUGAUUUAGGACCGGGGUCCUGACACUGUGCGAAGCCGCGAUGACCUAUAGAGCCCGAAGGCUGCUGUAUGGGUCGGCCCCUGUAGCGAAUGUUUUUUUCGCCCACUAUUCUCACCUGGGUUUUUAUGGUUGAUCUGUAGAGUUGACGUUUACAGUGGACUUUUAAGAGAAUAUUAUGGAUAUCAAAAAGGUUUGCAGAUUUGAAAAAAUUGUUUUUUAAAUAAAACCUUCAUAAGUUCGAUAAAGUUCAUGAAUUUGAAAAAAUAUCACAAUUUUGGAAAAAAAUACGAAUUUGGAAAAUUUCAACAAUUGUGAAAAAUUCACAAAACUUAAAUAAGUUCAAAAUUUUGAAAAACUUCAGAAAUUUGGGAAGGUUUGCGGAGUAAAAAAAUUCACUAAUUUCAAAACAUAAUAACCAAAUAAAACCGAAGAAAACCCGGUUUUGAAAACAAAAAUAAAAUAAUAGAAAAUAGGCCGGAAGCUCUCAAAAGUUUCCCAGAACUAGGAGAGAGCUUCCCCGCUCGAGCGCUCGUGUUACUUAUAUGGGCUGGCCCAUUUGUAGUCUAUCAGUGGUUCGGGUUGUGUGUUGUGUACGAUUAAGCCUAUAACUGAUGCUAUGGGUGCCAAAUAGGAAUUUCCUCUAACCCGCAACAAGCAAGAUAUAGCUUUUGCGGCCCUGCGAUGUUAGGCAGACCAAUUAUCAUGAAAUUGUAAAAGGACUUGAAAACACAAAAAUGUUCGCCACCCAGAAAGAAAAUGCACGAAGAAACUUAGACUAGUUACAUAGCACGACCCAAAUAACACCAACAAAUCUACCCCGUCCUGAAUCUCUACACCUUAGAUUUGUGCUCAUGGAAUUAACUAAUAUUUAACUAAAGACAACUGUAACGACAGGCGCUUAUUGUGUGGACACUAAUACAAAUAAGAUAUGAAUAUUAUAAAAUUACCUGCCCUCUCUCUCAGGACGGGACACUAAUUAUAGAUGCAACACCGUCGUUCGACCGGUGUAUUCGCUGCAAACCUUGUACGGAAAAGGGCAACCAUCGUUGACAUUAAUGCUACAUAUACGGGCUUUUUGUUUACACAGGAUUACAGAGGAGGUGAUUUGGACGCGUACUAUUAGUUGGUGGAUGGGCCCUUCACCAGAAAUUCAGAGAGGAGAGACUAUUGACAAAUUACACACUGUCUGCGGUAUAACAACCCCGUAAAGCCAUGUACAUUUAGGAUUACUAGCACCAAUGCCCGUGGGUUGCAACGGGAAAAAACAACGAUUCGUAUAAACCACGUUGCCGAGCUGAGAAACUGUAUCGUGGGACAAUGAUCGCCGAUGAGAAAAAGGCGUUGAAUCAUUUGAGGACGACAACAAUCAAACCAACCUAGAAUAACAAUUGCAACACCAACAUCAGCAAGCAAACCAACCUAGAUGGAAACUAAUUCAGGAAAACUUCCAUAAUUUAACAUAUCUACUUGGUCAAAUGCAACUUUAUCAUGCAAACCUAAAAAGUUUAGUAAAUAAUCAGUCAUUGACUUCACAUGGAAUUAAAUUGCAUAUGUAGGUAAACUGUAAUUGCGGCCAAUGAAUUGCGGACUCUAGAUGGAAGUAGCAAAACCCACAUGGAAGCAAGCAAAGAAAUCAUCUAAACAAAGGUGGGAAAAAAAGAGUGUGGAUAAAAAUCACUGGUGGAAGACUUACCUUUGGUUCGAGGGUUAGUGGAUACAGUCAGAUAUUUUAUGUACUUUUUUGUUUUGUAAUCCAGUCACAUGUAAUCGAUCGAUUUUAUUAUAACAGCUAUGUUUUUGGAGUCUCCUGUGAGAGAACCCGUGUUGCCAUAUAUGCAUGCCCCACAAGAAUCUGUAGCCAUUCAUUUAAUUAACUCGUCAUUAUGAUUAGCCAAUCAUAAUUAUCUGCGUCAUGCACGUCUCUCAGAAAUUGCCAUAUACUCUGUUUAAUUAGCCCAACAUUAAUUAGCCAAUCAUAAUUAUAUGCAGUAUGAUGUCUCGUCUCUUGGGAAUCCCACUCAAUUAGCCCACCGUUAAUUACCUUAAUCUGUUUUAUUAGCCCACCAUUAAUUAACCAAUCAUAAUUAUAUGCAUCAUGUAUCUCUCUCGGGAAUCCCAUUCAAUUAGCCACCUUUAAUUACCUCAUUCUCUUCCUUCCUUAUCUCUUUUUCUCACGUUUUUUCUUUCCUUAUUAUCUCUGGGCCACGUUGUUCGAAAUCACAAAUCCUCUCAAUCUUUCCUUAUUGAAACCCAACACGUAGGACACGACCGAUGAGCGAUUACAAAAGAGAACUGUCCGCUUUUCUUUCAGGCAACAGGUGCUAAAUUGGUUGGUUAACGCGUGCGGGCCUAUAUCUCGCCAACCCGGGUUCGAUUCCCAUCUAGCACAAUUUAUCUUUUGGAAGCAACGUACACACAAAUGGGCGGUGUGUCAAAAAAAACCACAACGUACGAAAGUGCAAACGACCGACAAAAGGAGGACGGCGUACAAAAACACUAAUGGACAAAAAAUAGUGGAGAAACAAUUCAUCCUUUAAUACUCCCUCCGUCCCAUAAUAUAGGUAAGAUAAAGAUAAAGAUUUCCUGACUAUGGGAUCGAAACUACAACUACCAAAGAGUGACCUCUGUUUUAAACCCUGAGGUAGAACUACAAUUAGGUAAGAUGAAAUUGGUACCCUCAACUUGCUGAUCCCGAUCAAUUUGGACCUUAGAUCCGUUUGCUGCACCGGGAAAAAGAAGAUCCAGGCCGGGAUCAGUCGCUACUCUCACUGAGGCGGGGCAAGUUGGUGCUUGAGGGAAGGGCCAGGAUGAUGGGCCUCGAGGCGGAGGCGGCGCGGCGACGCGCCUAGGAGGGUCACUUACGCAUUGCGAUUGCGGCCGCCCGCCGCCGUACGGUGCGAGGUGGCGGCUCCCUGCGUCCACGUGCUCCGGUGGCUCAAGGCGUGCGCGCGCGAUGAAAGGAAGAUGCCGGACCCUCCCGUGGACGCCGAGGUGCAAGUGCCCAUGAGACAACGCCAGUGCGUGACCGCGGCCACCGGGAGGAUUCGCUGACUAGCCGUGCUCGGUUCCUACGUGCCUCCCCCACCACCGCGUCGUCCUGACUCGCGCAUGGCACAGGACCGUCAUCUACAACAAUCGGCAUUCUAAGGCGCACCCACACCGAGCCAAAGCCAUGGACCGACGGACGGGGUUGCAGCUCAGGUGGCUAGCAGCUGGGGUGCGGGUUGGCGUGCACGGCACGCGCGUACAACACGCAAAGAGCGGCUUAACUACAGGGGUUAGUGCACGCAGAGAGAGAAAGAAAUUGGAAUAGGGGUGGUGAGCGUGCACUGCGUGGCCAUCGCGUGCUCAGCGCGGCAUGCACUCUGACGGACUACUCCUAGAGAAAUCAAUCAACCUGUAUGUUUGCUUCCGAGCAACUCUAGUUUUGAACAUAUGUCUAUCUACUAUCAUUAAUCGAUCUAGAAUCCUAAGUUCCUAACAGCAACAACGUCUUGGCGAUGGAGGCCGUCCAUGAAGCCGAUCGAAACGUGCGGCAUUCGCCUUGGCCUCCACCGACGGCAUGUGCAAGGUCGGGAGCAUCGUAGAUGGCCACAUCCCCGUCGCUUCUGUUGUCGCACGCAGACGAGCGGUUCGCACGAGCUCGUUUCGGGAGCUGGCUAUGUGAUCGGUAAGAGACAGGGAGGGGAAAGAGAUCGAGGAAGGAGUAUAUGGCAGGUAGGCCCGUGUGGUCAGUGAGACAAACAAGGGAUCCCGGACAGGAUUGUCCUUCCAAACAGGUCUAGGGGCGGUUUAGGGUUAUAAUUGAUCGGGAUCGAUGAGGUCAGGGUACCAACUUCAGGGAUUUAGAGGUGAAGGUUUAUUUCCGUCGUGGUCUACAAUCUCAGGGUUAAAAACAGACUUCACUGGUUGACAAUUACCUGGCGCCAUCCACUAGCGCCCAAUGAUGGAGAUGGCCAAAUACAUACCUAAUUGACAAUUACCAAAUAUGAGAAAAACAUGCACUCCUUUUAAUUUAUCUAUAUUCUUAUAAAUUUUUAUUUAUUACCACCCCUUAAAAAAUAUUGAAAUGACUCAGACAACACAAACAAGCAAACCCAAUGGUUGGGUGCUCUGUUCAGACUGUAGGAUUCUACGGCAGGGCGGGUCGACUACAAAUUAAAAAUUUCUACCCACAGAACAUCCAGGAACACACUACAAGAGAUGGAUCACGGAUCGUUACCACUAGACGUGCAAUGCCGUGCAGCAGAAGUAGAUUUGGGGCAGCGCGUCUCCGGAGUCGUCUCCGCCUCGAUCUCCCAGGUAGCCGAUCGGAUCGCAUGAACAGGUUCGACGGAGCGGCACAAGUAUACCGCCUCUAACGGUAUCCGCACGUGCAGGAGGAACACCGUGCGGCGGACUGCUAGUUCCAUCUGCUAGUUCCAUCAAACAGCCGACAGCGAGUGGAGGUGGCUAGUUGCAACACAUGCAAGGCCCUAGUGGAGACGCCACAGCAAUCAACUGAAACGGUAUGUCGCACCUCCACUAUAUAUAGGCAUCCGUCCCGGGCUCAACACUUGGGCCUUGCAUGGAUUCUAAAGCCCAAAGUUUGUUCGGCAUGGAUCCUAGUCCGAGUGGGAUCACAUCUGACUCGUGGAGUCGGAUCCAGCCUUACAGGUUCCUUCACUUAAGUGCGCGACCCCUUAGGUUCAAGUCAUCUUGGUCGCAGGUUGGAUCACCUCCGACUUGCUCGGUUGGUAGCGGCAUCUAGCAAGGCGUGACGACCACCAAGUAGACAAUGAAGCCGGUUGGCUUACCUGUACAACAUGUCACACUUCUAUUCUCUUUGCCACACGAUAUAUGUUGUCGGGCUCAAGGCGAGUCGGUCAUCUUUGUACUAGCCCGACCUAUUUCUCGUUCUAGUGAUGCCGACAACGAACCGGAUUAUCUCAUAAUCCUUGUCGCAUGGCCAUGCUUAUCCAGGUUGAAUCACACGAGGGCCCCAGAGUAUAUCUCUCCUGAUUGGAGGGGCAAAUCCCAUCUUGCUCGACCAUGUCUCGUAGCAUGGGUCUGGACAAGUCGAAAAUCUACAUUUAUAACUACCCAGUUAUGGAGUAGCGUUUGGUUGGCCAAAGCAGGUCUGUCACCAUCCCGAGUACAUGCGCCAGCUCAGGUGUUAGGACAUAGAAUGUAUGUUGUACUAGGGACUCACAUAUGACCUAUCGCCGCAUAUCAUAGUCGGGUCUGUACAACUUGGACCUUAUCUGGAUCGUAUGUCGAAUCCGACCAGAUCUUUGUGAGUCCAUACUAUCCGGAUAGCAUCCAAUUCUCCAUGGCCAAUGAGACCAAGCCAUCCACCGUGUCAUAUGCUAGUCUAGUCGGCUGUGCGUGCAGACAACCCUUUCGACUAGGGACUUUUUAAGGCAGUCAUCAUAUAAUGCCUAGUCCCACAAACAAGUCAUGUGCUUGCUGAUACACAUCAUUGAUAAUGUCCAAGAACUAUCUUUAUUCACAAACACAUAGGAAGAAGCAUCAUACAUGAUUUCCACUAGGGCAUAUCUCCAAUAGUCUCUCACUUACACUAGAGUCAAUCAAAUAGACAUUUAAUUCCCAUAGCUCUGACGUGCCCCUCAUGCUUGGGUUGUGGAAGCGACUUAGUGAACGGUUCCGCAACAUUUCCAUCCAUGUGAAUUUUGCAUAACUCUAUAUCACCACUCUUUUACGAUCUUCUGCAUGAGGUGAUAUUUUCAAUCUAUGUGUUUGGUCUUGUGGUGGUUCCUCGGCUCCUUGACUUGUGCGAUGGAACCAAAACUAUUACAAUAAAGGUCCAGUGGUUUUACCAUUGCUGGAAAAAUACCAAGAACAUUCAGAAAGUUCAAGAUCCAAGCACCUUCCUUUGCAGCUUCACAAACCACUAACGACCACAACACCCGCGGGGAGAGGGGUCACAUAUUCGCGGGCACAACCCGGACUGAGCCCACCAUCACCUACCCGGAGUGAAAACUCUAACCCGCCUCGGGCCCUAAUCAGAUCUGCCCGAGCACGGACCCCAAGUCCAGGUCAUCUCCGUCGCGCAAGCAGCGGGCGCCACCGACGUGGACCCAAGAGAAGGGAGGAACCACUACCAUGCACACCACGCUGUCAACCGCCACCGCCCGAGCCACCAUGACCACAUCGACGACCGCUGCAACCACGCCCCUGGCCUGCCGCAGCCAGCUGAGGCCGCUAGACCGAGCCACCACGAGCAAGGACUACUACUUCGGAGCCCCCACCAUGCAAUCAUCGUCGCAGCAGAGGCCGACCUGUGCUGCCCAUGACCCUCGUUAGAGAGGCAGCUACCUGUCAGAUUUCGCCGAGGCCCCACUACCGCCACAACCACCUCCGGGCGCUCCACUACCCACCACGCGGCCUAUGCCACAACCGUCGCACAGGCGCCCGCCACUACACCUACACGCCGGCCCCUGCACGCGAGGGGACGAGGAAGCCCCGCUGCCGCCGGCUCCAGUCGAGCUUUGCCCACCUGAGUCCUGUGGCCGCGGCUAGGGAGGAGGGGCGGGGAACCUGGUGGCGGCAGACUAGGGUUACCUCCCGGCUGCCGCGGGAGGCGUUGGAGGAAAGAGAAUCUCCGAUCAUAUUACCAUUCACCGCCAAAUUUGUUUAUCAUUAUCACCCAUCUUAAAAAAUACUGAAAAUGUCUGUAUUACCACUUUUGAUACAGGCAGAGAAGAUGCGCGGGCUGGCGCAGUCAAUUUCCGGCAGCCAGUCGAGUCUCAUCAGUUGCAAGAAGGUAAAUGUUCGAACUAUAUAUGCCGGUAGCGGAAAGAAGCUUUAUAUAACACCUCACCUAUGCUUAGUGCGACGCACGAUCAUAGUACUGCCACCCCACUAAAGACUGAAAGUACGUGUAUGCCACAACCAUGCAACAGUCGAGCAACCAAACAGCCAGAGCCUCUCUUUUAUGAAAUGGCUUCCAUCGAUGUCUCAUUCUACAUCUUUUGUGGCAGCCCGUGUGAGGUAACGCAACAAACCAACAGAUCAGCCCGUGUAAACUCCGCGUCUUCCCCACGAUGACAACCUCGUCUCGAUCGUCUCAUCGUCCCUCCUGCAUGACGCGCCGCCUUCUGACGCCAUGCAAGCGAGCCCUCGCGCGGCUCUUCCGCAUCCCGGCCUCCGCCGCCCUCUCUAUCAGGGCCUUCCGGUUCCGCAAUCUCCGCAAGUCCACCGCCAAGAUGAGCCCCCGCCACCGGCGCCGUGCCGGCCGAAGCUUCCGCUCGGUCCGCGCGGUGUUCUGGCCGUUAAUCCCUCCGUCUUCCACGCCGGCAACCUCGACAGAGAGCCAUACCGCGCGCAGGGUAGUUGCUGCGGCGGUGCCAGAGGUGCCGGUGCCGUCGCCAGAGACGCCUGCGUAUGUGAAGAUGGUGGCGCGGCUGCGGUCGAGGACGACCACGCGAAUUGGAGAGGACAAAGAGGAGGCAUGCCAGAGUUUUGAGAGCUGCCUGAUGGGGAUUUUGACGGAGGAAGGCAAAGCGCGGGACCUGCAGGACGUGGAGGAACUCCUACAGUGCUGGGAGCGGCUCAAGUCGCCGGUGUUCGUCGAUCUGGUCUGCCGGUUCUACGGCGAUCUGUGCAAGGACUUAUUCUCCUCCGCCGCCGGGGGUGAGAACGGCGGAAACACUAACCAGGACGUGGGACCAGUUUCCAUGUCGGCUGCUUUACUAGUGUAACUCGUUACCACAUCGUGUUGUAAGUUCGUAACACAAAACACUUAAUUUUACAGUUUACGCUAUGAUGGCCUUCCCUGAAAAAAAAUAUCGUAAUGGAUGUCUGGAUGGCGACGUGCAAUGGCCUGAGCUGAGCUCGAGAGCUAUGUCUCAUUUGAGACGGUAGCUUCGGGAGCAACUCGUUGACGAGCGUUUCUUCGGGAGUCUCCCAACGAUAAUUUUGGAUGGGCUGAGAGCACAUCACUUCACGCGUUGUCAUCCGCCGUCACGUGUCACGCUUUGGAUGUUUUCUCUAAUUUAUUUAUUUAUUUAUUUCACGUGUUUUCGGCUUUUUAGACUGUUUAUUUUCUGGGUUUUCUCGGCUUUUUCGUUUUUCAUCGGUCUUACUUAGCUUUUAGACAAAAAAUGAUUUUUUAUUUUACUUUUCAUGGAAAAACUUUUUUCUUCUUUCACGAGAGGCAUGAUUUUGAUUCGGCAUGAAGCACGAAUUUGCUUUCGCAAGAGGCAUGACCGUGCCUCUUCCGAACAAAAAAUAUAUUUUCUUCUUCUUUUCCCUUCCCGAGAUUAGAUAAUGCAUGACGAGGACUUGACUCUUGACUUACACAAGAACUUUAAGAAAGAAGAAAAGCUUGAAUUAUCCGAAAUGACAAGCUCCCACGGUUUUGCUUCUGUGAGAGGCACGGUUUUGCUUCCAUGAUAGACACAUCUGUGUCUCUUGGAAACGAAAAAACACGUUUUCUCUUCUUUUUUUUCCUUCCGUGAGAGGCACGGUUUUAUUUUUGCGAGAGGGGCGGCUUUGCUUUCGUGAGAGGCACGGUCAUGCCUCUCGGAAACAAAAAAAAACACGUUAUUUAUUUAUUUUUUCCUUUCACGAGAGGCAUGGUUUUUCGUGAUUUUUUUUUCGUUAAAACCUACCAACAUGGGAUUUAGUUUUGAAGAUCUCGAUGCGAGGAAUCAAACGGUGAAAACAGUUUAAGAUUUGGACGCACAGUUUAAAAGAUAAAAUAUUUUGAAUAAACGAAUUUAGAACUAAAAAGAAAAAACAUUCAAGUUGUGACAAAUGAUACACAUUCAACGUAUCACUUGUCACAAACUAAAGAAAUAAUAGUGAUCUUUGAAAAAGACUACUCCUCAUUGAUUUCCGCUAGGUUCUCUUGUCUGACCCAGCCGGCCCAUCUUUCUUUCGAUUACUGGCACCCGAAGCUCACUCAUGAGCGAUUGCUUCGCUGUUUUCAAUUUUUUUUCUUUUCUUCUCUGCUUUUUUAUAUUUUUCCCACCAGAUUUCUUUGUUACGGUUCUUUUUAAUUUUUCUGCUUUCUUUGUUUUUUCGUCGCUUUUUUUCAUUUUUUCUCAAUUUCCAUCGGUUUUUCAUUUUUUUAUUUCUUUCUUUCGCUGCUUUUAAUGGUUCUUUUGCUUUUCUUUGUUUCUUUCUUGAUUUUCAUCGGUUUUCUUUAUGUUAUUUGUUUCUUUUUCGGUUUUCUUUGUUUCAUUCUUUUACAUUCAUUUCUUCAGUUUCUCUUUUUUUGGUUUUUAUUUUUUUUAGUUUUUCUUUGUUUCUUUGUUGAUUUUCACCUGUUUCUGUUUUGUUCAGUAUGUCUUAACAUUUUUCGUACACAUUCAACAUUUUUUUAUACAUCAAAAAUAUUUUUUCAUAUACAUGUUUAACAUUUUAAAAUACAUGGUUAAGAUUUUUUAUGUCUAUCUUUUCUCCAAACACAUACAUUUUUGGUACUCCCUCCGAUCCGUAUUAUUUGCCUUAUAUUUUUCUAGAUAUGAAUGUAUGUAACACUAAAACAUGUCUAAAUACAUCCGUCUCUACACAAAUAUAAGACAAGUAAUAUAUAUUGGAGGGAGUAUAUAUCAAAUACAAUUUUUCUGAUACACAUGUAACAUCUUUCAAAUACAAGUUUAACAUUUUUUUAAUACAUGAUCAAUAUUUUUUGUACACAUAUAACACUUUCUUCAAAUACUUGAUUAACAUUUUUUAAUAUAUUGACAACUUUUUUUCUACACAUAGUAAUCAUUUUUCAAAUGCUUGAUUAACAUUUUUCGAAUACAAGGUUAACAAUAUUUUUAAUAUAUGGUCAACUUUUUUUCCUCGAUACAUUUAACAUUUUUAAAUGCUUGCUUAAUUUUUCUGAAUACUUAUUGAACAGUUUCUCAAAUUCUUGAUUAAAUUUUCUGAAAUACAGGAUUAAUUUUUUCACACACAUUGUAUAAUUUUUUAUAUAUAUGAGAAACAUUUGCUAUAUACAUAUUUAACAUUUUUCAAAUGCUUUUUUUAAUGUUAUAUGUAAAUUGUUUUUUAAUAUGUUUAUUCCAAAUAUUUUUGAAGUAUAGACAAAAGUAGAAAAAGAAAGCAAAAAACAAACACAAAAAAUGUGAAAAAGUGAGGUUAUGGCUCCCGCGCGCCUAGGCCGGCCCAUCUUGCGCUGACCUUCAUGUGAUAGUUCGCUAUGUCGCGCCCUAGGCUGAGUGAGAUGAGUGGUGGGAGGAUGGACCUGUUGAGGUAAAUUCGGUAGAAUUAGUGAAAUAUGUUUUUAGAGGUCAUCAUCUAACUAACUUUGAUAGCCUAAACAAUCUUAACUAAAUUUGGUUAGUGACCACUAGCAAUUGAGAUCAUUCCCAAAAAUAAAACAUUCUAAAAAAGUUAGCAACCAAAUUAUCAAGGACUUAAUGGUGAUGUACAUAACCUUUUGGCCAAUUAUAAGGCCAAUUUGGCAUGCAAAAAGCAAGUUCAUUCACGAGGACAUCCAUCAUAGCCCCUAUCGACUUUUGCUUUUGUACAAAAUUUCCUACAAGAACUAGAGAUCAUGAAGUAUCCCAAAAUUAGCUCUAAGCCUAGGUUGUCCUCCACACCAAGCAUGUGCACUAGCCACCAGGCAUUAGGCCGACCCGAUCUCCUCUUACCACCGCCUUCCUGACAACCCCUUAUCACCUCCUUCCUCCAUGCCACCACCAUCGUUGACGCCUAUCUCGACUUGGACACGAACUCUCCUCGAGCAUGCUCCAAUGGGGUGCCCUACACAGACUCCUUGGCUAAUUCCACACACCAAAGGCACAUAAAAAGGUUUUGAAUCCCUUGACCAAAAGCCAAGCUCAACUGUGAGUUCCUGUGCAAAACGUUUCCCAUCUGAAGCAUCAUAUCUCACCAUUCCACCGUUUUUGCCAGGACUCCCUUCCACCCAAGGUAUGUCGUUCAGUGCCUUCAAGUGUUGAUACACAUAAUCCAGUCAUCCAUCAUGUCGGCUUAGUUUUUCUUUAAUUACAACAUCGCUCUUUAUGCAUUCAUUUGUGUGUGUGUGGGGGGGGCAUGCACUUGAUGCAGGUGAGAUGCUGGUGAUUCCCACCAUUACUACAAGUAAGUACGUGUAAGGGUAGGGAAGGGUCUUCAUUGGCGAGGAGGAGAGGCAACGUGAGUGAAUUUUAGACUAGGGGGCAGGAGUGUGGAUGAUGCAUACACCAUGUGUAAAUGAGAUUAGGGUGGCUGCCACCAUCAUGAUGAGCCCAUGAAAAUACAAGGUGGUGCAGGGAGAAGGUCAUGAAGGUAGCUUGCUGUGUAAUGAUCGAGAUAAUUGCAAUGGUAUUAAUCACGUUCGUUGUGAAGAGGUGAACAACGUCGCCGCCAUCGGCACUGUGACGAAGAGAAGAAAGGGAAACACAAAUGGCUCGCUAGGGACAUGUUUAUCCCGAUGAAAAGCACGUGCACAUCUCUUAGUGCAAUAUAUAUUGCCACGGAAGCGAGCUAAACUAAGCCAGCCCACUGUUGCGUUUGGUUUUCGGAGUACUUUGUUUACUAUCGAUUCAGUUAUUUUCGGAUCCGGGUUUGGUCGUUUUCCACGGGAAUUGGUUUUCCACAAUAGCAUAAGUAUCCGGCUUUCUACAUUUUUCUUUGCGUUUUCUUGAUUUUUGUUCUUUUUUCUUCUUCUUAUUUUUUUGUUUUCAUCUGUUUUUACUUUUUGAUACAUGUCGAAAAUUAUCUAAAUACACAUUAAGCAUUACGAAAUACAUGCAAACAUUUUUUGAAUGCAUGCUUGACUUUUUGGUACAUGUUGAAUAUUUUUAAACAAACUAUAAAUAUUUCUCAAAUAAUGUUGAACAUUCUGAAAUGAAGGAUGAAUAAUUUUAAAUACAUCAUUUAAAAUGAGUAAGCACUUUCUUCCAAUUUCAGUGACAAAUGUGACAUUUUCUAAUUUUAAUUUGUUAGAAAAUAAAAAUAAAAUGAGAAAAUCAGAGAAGACCGGACCAAAAAAUCAUGUAAAACUGGUAGAAAACUGCAUGUAGAAACCAACUAGAAAAAUCGCUAGAAAUCCAUGACUAGGCCGGCACAGGUGGAUCACCCGUUGGCGAGUGCUAUAUAUCGCUUGUAGCUUGAUGUUGUGACUCAGAUAGAAGACACGUUAAGGCCAACGCCAUUUAUGGAGCUGAGCAUGUUCUCUAACCUCGUGAUCCUUGUGGGUGUGUGGCGAGGUGAAUCCCUCCUAUUUGACGCUCAUUGGUUCAAAGUGUCAGGGUUUCACACAGGGCCUGGAGUCAUGGGCCAAAUCCAAUACGGUGGUUGGGCAAGCAAUGUUUCUCGUAUCUUUUUUCAAUAGCCUUUUGUUUGUUUUUGAUAUUUUCGAGUGUGCUCUUUUGCUUUUCUUCUGUAGGUUUGUUCAUUUAUCUGCCAUCAUUUUUCCUUUGCCGGGUUCCAAUUUUUUGCUUUUAUUUAUUUAAUUUUAAUAUUUUUUCAUUUCUCCUUCUCAUUUUGUACAUAUAUUCUAUAUAUCUGAAAUUGUUCAUGUUUUGAAAAUUCACAAAAUUGAAAAAAAUGUUCAUUUCCUAAGGUUAGCUACAAAUUUUGAAAAUUCCAACUUUAGAAAAUAUUCAUGAACCUAGAAAGUAUGGAAAAAGGAAAAUUAAAAAUUAAAGGAAUCGGGAGCAAUCCCGAAAAGGAAAGUUUUUCUUUGAAAAACGUUAGAAACCAGCGUUCCAUUGUGUUUUUCCCCAACAUUCUAAUGCACAGUGUCAAAUAGGAGGGGAUUUCUCGGUGAGAUCGUCCUACCAUGCGGAAUGGGAACACCAACCUGGACGAAAAUUGAGAAGGACAAACUCUAUUGAAGCCUCAAGUACUAGCCCAAUUUGGAGUGUUGUUUGGAAAUUGCAUGUUCUGGCUAAGAUCAAGAUCCAUGUCUGGAGAAGUUUAUUGGGUGCAAUACCUUGCUACAGUGUUCUGACCAAUAGGCACAUGGCCACAAUUCUCAAUGCCCCCUCUGUAUGGCGGACUGCGAGAGCAUCACACACACGUGGUGGCUACAUUCAACGAUGACUAAGGUACUGGAGCUUUGGGUGCUAUUCUUCGCGACUAUAAUGGAUAUUUUUUGGCGAUGUCUUGCAGCCAUAUUCCCUUUGUUGAUGACGCUGCAUUGGCGGAAGCCCGAGGUCUUCGAGAUGGCCUUAUCUUGGCAAGUGAUAUUGGAUGCAAUAACAUAGUGGUCCAAGCUGAUUGCAUGGAGGUAAUUCAGGUGAUGCAAGAUGGUGGCACUCGUUAGGACCAGCAGCAACAAUCUUCGAGGACUACACUUUAUUAUGUCGUAAUUUUAAUUAUGUUAGUUGUUAUCAUUGCCCUAGGGAGGCCAAUAUGGCGGCAAACUUGUUAACUAGUAGAUCGGAGGUUUUCGCAAACCUUGAAUUGGCAAGACGAACCACCUGAUUUUCUAGUGGAUGUACUCCUAACCGAUGUAUCAUUGUUACCGCAUGAAAUAUAAACCGACAUGAUGUGAGUUGGGCGGGAGUACAUGCGUGUGGACGCUAUAGUUGGAAACGGCAUGGAGAUUGUCCAGGAGGGACGAAAUGUUGUCCAUGAAUUGAGCAUCUUGUCAGUGAUGCGUCGGUGAUCCCAUGCCUUGCUGACCCGUAGAUGUGGGACCCAAACAAAUAAAUAUCGCAAUAAAAAGCUCAUUUGCCUUGUUCCAAAUAAAUAACUAUGCAACGAAUAGCAAGUUAGUGUGACGACGACAUAUUACUUCUUCUUUUUUAUGAGAAAUAUAUUACUUCUGUCAUGCGUCAGUGAUAUGAUACUUAAACAGAAGAAUAGUAGAAUGGUACACACUACUAUUCAUCAACCCACGAAGGGGUAAAUAUACAGAGUACAUGGUGGUGACAGCCACAACUAUGUACGGGCAUGCACAACGUGCACCAAGUCGUGGGGCGUGGCAUGCGGUAGCAGAUCAGGUACAAGACGUGGGACUCGGUCCCUGUUACACUAGCAACGGGCAUCUUCCAAUAGCCCCCGCAGUCGCAACGGGAUCAUUGAGGACGUUGAGGCUAGACCGGAAGUCGGGGAAGAUGGGCGUCGGGAGCCCCUUCAUGAAGAUGUCGGCGAACUGUGACGUCGAGGGCACGUGGAGGACCCGAACGUCGCCGAAGGUGACACGCUCACGAACAAAGAGAAGGUCGAUCUCGAUGUGCUUCGUCCGUUGGUGCUGCACAGGGUUGGUGGAGAGGUACAUCAUGCUCACAUUGUCGCAGUAGACGACGGUCGCCGCGGACGGGGGCCGUCGGAGCUCGCGGAGUAGCUGCCGGAGUCAAUACGCCUCAGCCACGUCGUUGGCGACGGCCUUGUACUCCGCCUCGGCGCUGGAGAGCGAGAUAGUCGGUUGACGCUUCGAGGACCAUGAGACAAGGUUGUCGACAACGUAGAUGCAGAAGCCUGAUGUAGACUUGCGUGUGUCGGGACAGCCGGCCCAGUCGGCGUCCGAGUACGCAAUCAACCUGUGGUAGGAGGAGCGCCGAAGAUGAAGACUGAGUUGCAAGGUGCCGCGGAUGUAGCGUAGGAUCCGCUUGAGGACGGUGUAGUGCGGUUCACGCGGGUCGUGCACGAAUAGACAGACCUGCUGAACAGCGUAGGCGAUGUUCGGACGCGUGAGGGUGAGGUACUGGAGAGCUUCCGCUAAGCUGCAAUAGUGAGACGGGUCGGAGAGGGGAGGGCCGUCGGAAGCGGAGAGCUUGGAGCGAGUGUCAAUGGGCGUAGUGGCAGGCUUACAGUUGCUCAUGUGGGUGCGCUCAAGAACCUCUAAGGCAUACUGGUGCUGCGAGAGAAACAACCUGUGUGUGCCACAAGUGACAUUGAUGCCUAAAAAGUAGUGGAGAUCACCAAGGCCAGUCAUGGAAAACUCGCGGUGGAGCUGUGCGAUGAUGUGGCAAAGUACACCACCGAAGACAUCGAUGGUAUGAAUGACGAUGUCGGAGAUGAACAAGGCCAGGACCCGCCGUUUAGCGGACGUUGGACGGCCACCUCCUGAUAUGACGUGUAUAUGGUGGACACACCCAAAGAAGAUGACGGCGACGGCAGGAAGGAUCCGGUCGAGGACGAGCCUGUUGAGGCACCACCAAAGCGUCGACGUCAGUGGCGCCGUUCCAAAUCGCGUCGCGAAAAAGACAGUAAUACCGGCACCGGAGACAAUAACACUCCGGAUAAUGCCAAACACCCCGAAGCCCCCAUCGAGCCAACAUCUGAACAUGACAAUUGGGAGGAGGGGCAAGUCAACCCUGACGAUCCGGUCGGGAACGAGGACUCGGAGGAUAGUAACUAUCUACCACCCUCCGAAGACGACGUGAGCCUCGGUGACGAGGACUUCAUCGUGCCAGAGGAACCACUUGAGCAGGAGCGCUUUAAGCGCUAGCUAAUCGCCACGGCGAGAAGCCUAAAAAGAAGCAAAAAAACUCCAAGCCGAAUAGGAUACACUCAACGACAGAUGGACCCAGGUCCUAGCUACCGAAGAGUAUGGUUUUGAACGCCCACCAAGAAGUUAUCCGAAGCGUCGGUUACUACCACAAUUCGACGAUGAGGCCCUCGAGCCAAUACCGUCAAGACACCACCGCGCUGAUGAACCAGACUGGCCACCGCGUGGACGGGACAGAGCGGCUACUCAGGCUGAACACCAGCCCGCACCACCCCACCUUAGAGGCAGAGAGACAGCGGCUCCAGGAUAUACCUACGACCUACGACAGGACCUGGACAAUAGAGUCGGUCAGACCAGAUCAAUCUAUGUAUCAAGGGGGCAUGCCCCAACGUGAGAGGACGGCCAUCAGGCCUGGCGCGAUAAGCACAACCUCACCCGGGCCAAAAAUCGCAUACGGACGUCAUCCAAACUUUGUCAUGAUGUCGCGCGAUACAGAGGCGCCGCACACCCCUUAUGCUUCACCGAUGAGGUAACGGAGCACCAGUUCCCAGAAGGGUUCAAACCGGUAAACAUUGAAUCAUACGAUGGAACGAUAGAUCCCGCAGUAUGGAUAGAAGAUUUUCUUCUCCAUAUCCACAUGGCUCGCGGUGAUGAUCUCCAUGCCAUCAAGUACCUCCCCCUGAAGCUCAAGGGACCAGCACGACACUAGUUAAAUAGCCUCCCAGAAAACUCUAUUGGUAGCUGGGAAGACUUGGAGGAUGCCUUUAGAGACUACUUCCAAGGCACCUAUGUCCGGCCUUCGGACGCCGACGACCUUAGUCACAUAGUCCAGCAACCCGGAGAGUCAGCCCGGAAGCUCUGGACCAGGUUCUUAAUCAAAAAGAACCAAAUUGUCGAUUGUCUGGACGCCGAAGCCCUCGUGGCCUUUAAACACAGCGUCCGAGACGAGUGGCUUGCCCGACACCUCGGCCAAGAAAAGCCAAAGUCUAUGGCAGCCCUCACUGCACUCAUGACCCGCUUUUGCGCGGGAGAAGAUAGCUGGCUAGCUCGUAGAAGCAACAACACCAGCGACCCCGGCACCUCCGAAGCCAUGGAUGGCAAUAGUAGGCCACAACACAACCAAAAAAAAGCAUCAAAACAACAACGAAAAUACCGAAGAUACGGCGGUCAACGCCGGAUUCAGUGGCUCCAAACCAGGUCUGCAAAAGAAGCCAUUCAAAUGAAACAAGGAUAGCCCAUCUAGUUUGGACAGGAUAUUCGAUCGGCCUUGCCAGAUUCAUGGCUCCCCUGACAAGCCUGCCAAUCACACGAACAGAAAUUGUUGGGUUUUCAAACAGGCCGGUAAGAUAAACACCGAAAAUAAGAGGAAAGGGCCACCCAGCGAGGAUGACGAUGAAGAGCCUCGCCCACCGAACACAGGGGGACCGAAGAAAUUUCCCCCCGAGGUAAAAACGGUGAAUAUGAUAUACGUUACGCAUAUCCCAAAGAGGAGCGCAAGCGUGCUCUAAGGGACGUCUACGCCGUAGAGCCGGUCGCACCAAAAUUCAACCCCUGGUCGGCCUGUCCAAUCACCUUCGAUCGUAAGGAUCACCCGACCAGUACCCAUCACGGAGGUUCGGCGGCCUUGGUCCUCGAUCCAAUCAUCAACGGAUUCCAUCUCACAUGAGUCAUUAUGGACGGCGGUAGCAGUCUUAAUCUGCUCUAUCAGGACACGGUCCGCAAAAUGGGUAUUGAUCCGUCAAGAAUCAAGCCCACCAAAACCACCUUUAAAGGAGUAAUCCCUGGUGUGGAAGCCCGUUGCACAGGCUCCAUAACAUUGGAAGUGGUCUUCGGCUCGCCGGACAACUUCCGAAGCGAAGACUUGAUCUUCGACAUCGUCCCCUUCCCAGUGGUUACCACGCACUGCUUGGAAGAACCGCUUUCACCCGCUUCAAUGCGGUCCCGCAUUAUGCUUACUUAAAGCUCAAAAUGCCCGGACCUCGCGGCGUCAUAGCAGUCAAUGGAAAUACAGAGCACUCCCUCCAUACUGAGGAGCAUACCGCGGCCCUCGCAGCUGAAGUAUAGGGUGGCCUUAUCAAGCCGAACACUACCUCGGCAGUCAAGCCCUCAGACACUGUCAAACGAGUCCGGUCUACCUUGCAGAAUGACAGUCCGGCUCAUCCAGAGCUCGAUUAGCAUUUCAGCCUCCGUCAAAAUACCAACCCAAUUGCGGCAUUCGUACCGCGUGUACAUAACUACGCACUAAAGAUACCAUGGGCAAGGAUGGAGGCACACUAAAAAUAAAGUCCGCAAUACGGCUCGACCCUAUCCGGACCUUCAUAUAUUCUUUCUCUUUUCUUGUUAUUUUUUCAGGUUCUUUACAACCCACAUCACUUUUCGAUGGUACCAAGGGCACCUUUUCCAGGCCCCUUAUCUAUACCCGAUCGUCAAAGGAUCUUACACCAAGGCGAAAUGCGGCGCAGACGUGCGGCAGAACGUACAAGGGAUCCUCAAGAUCAUCUUUUCCUUUUUAAGGACCUGUAUACAGCUUUCCCUUGUCCUUGGCAUGUAAAAUAGCCUCGAUGCCCAUGGCACCAUCUUUAAAAAUACGUUUUGACGUAUCACUCAGACUAUAAUGGAAACAGUUCUGCCCAACCUUGUCCGGUAUUGGCUUAUUUCUUAAAUAUGUCUUCCCUCUGUACGUCAUAUUGACCUACACCUCGGCACGAUUUAAAACGCCAGGGGCUCCAUUAGGCCACAUGUAUUUUUCAAACAAAAGAAGUACGAACACUUUUAAAAGUACACUUCGGCAUCCCGAACAUGGCAUUAUAUGCAUUGGCUCCGAAUCAUGUCUUUGGUCAAUAGUUGGGUUGCCCGGCUCCUGUGGUUACCACCUUAUGUUCCGCUUGUUCGGCUAAGGUAGUAAAGGGAGAACUACUGCGAUUGUGUUUCUGAUUCAUCCGGUCAAGCACCUCAGUAGAAAAAACCGAAAACUGACUGUCAUGAUGCGGCGAGAGCUGGUCAGCAAUUUGGCGACUCACUAAAUCUUUAGCGAUUUUUUCUGUAUUAUACGAAGGACUGGCUUCGGUUCAGUCACGCGCCUCAGGUAUCCCAGCUCGGACAGCCACCUGCGCACCAGGGGCUAGUUCCUAACCCCACCGUCAAACUCCUCUGGCUAAGUGAAAGCGCUAAAGCCACAUAGUCUGAUUGCCUGGUUCGCUACGGAAGUCACCUCCUUUAGAGACCAAGAUGUUGGGUCAAGAGUGAUUACACGUUAUUCCGAACACCCCUGUAGUAUCUACUUGGGGGAUGAAGCCGACGACUGGCAAACUUUCAGAAAUAAAAACGGCCGCACAGGAGGAAAAAAUUUCAGAUAAAAUGACAAGUAUAUUACAAAGCCUUGGUUUAUAAUACAACGUUCGGGCAGUUCGGAUACAUUCCCUCGAACAUAAUAUCCUUUGAGCAUUGGCCCUCUAUCAAACGAGCACCUCCUAGGACGUCUUCAAAAUAGCGCCCCGGCCUGCGGUGGUCUUUGCCUCCAGGCGGACCCUCAAUUGCCACGUCGGCGGCCUUCAUCUUUGCCCAGUGCAUCUUGACACAGGCAAAGGCCAUCCGCGCACCUUCUAUGCACAUCGAGCGCUUCAGAGCCUCAAUGCGGGGCAGGGCGUCGCCGAGCCGCUUGACCAGGCCGAAGUAGCUGCUAGGAAUAGGUCCGGCCGGCCAUAGCCGGACUAUGAUAUCCUUCAUGGCCAAACCAGACCUCCUAUGCAGCUCCACCACCUGCAUCAUCUGGUUGUUUAGCAGCGCUGGCCGCUCCGGCGCCAGGUACUGCGACCAGAAGAGCUUCUCCGUCGUAUUCCCUCCUUGGGCCCGGAAAUACUGUGCAGCAUCGGCAGCACUCCUCGGGAGAUCCGAAAGGUGUCUGGAGCACUCCAUAGUCGAUUUAGCAUAGCAUAUCUUCGACCUCCAAAUAUACUCUGUAAAAGAAAAAGGCUUACCAGCCGCUAUCUGCCCGGCCUGCUUGAUCUCCUCGCGGGCCGCCCGGGACUCGCUCCACGCCUCCUUUACCUCUUGCAGAGCCUUGGUGAGUUCGGACGCUUGGGCCUUGUUACUCUCCUCCAAGGCUUCGCACUUUUUGGCAACAUCUUGGAGUGCCCGGUCCACUUCGGUCAUCCUCUCCUCAUGCUGACGGUGGGCGACCUGUUCGGCCUUCAAAUUCGUAGCCGCUUUGUCAGCGGCCACUUGGCUCACCCGCGCCCGCUCCUUGGCUUCGGCAAGGGCACCCUUGAGGGUCUCGACCUCGGGUGCGUUGCCUACAACUAUAUAUAUAUAUAUAUAUAUAUAUAUAUAUAUAUAUAUAGCAACACAUGAGCUUAAAUUCUAAUUUUGCAUUACAACUCAGGCUUACAAGGGACCUUUUGAAAGCAUACCUUGUUGCUCAUUGAACCACUUGUUAGCGCGGUCGAUCUCGUCAUCAGCCAGCUUUAGCUUCCGCUUGAGUUCGGAAACUUCAGCGGCCUGGGCAGAUGCCGCUAACAAUGAAGCAUGUGUUGGAAAUAUGCCCUAGAGGCAAUAAUAAAUGGUUAUUAUUAUAUUUCUUUGUUCAUGAUAAUAGUCUAUUAUUCAUGUUAUAAUUGUAUUGUCCGGAAAUCGUAAUACAUGUGUGAAUGCAUAGACCACAACGUGUCCCUAGUAAGCCUCUAGUUGACUAGCUCGUUGAUCAACAGAUAGUCAUGGUUUCCUGAGUAUGGACAUUGGAUGUCAUUGAUAACGGGAUCACAUCAUUAGGAGAAUGAUGUGAUGGACAAGACCCAAUCCUAAGCAUAGCAUAAAAGAUCGUGUAGUUUCGUUUGCUAGAGCUUUUCCAAUGUCAAGUAUCUUUUCCUUAGACCAUGAGAUCGUGCAACUCCCGGAUACCGUAGGAGUGCUUUGGGUGUGCCAAACGUCACAACGUAACUGGGUGACUAUAAAGGUGCACUACGGGUAUCUCCGAAAGUGUCUGUUGGGUUGGCACGGAUCGAGACUGGGAUUUGUCACUCCGUGUGACGGAGAGGUAUCUCUGGGCCCACUCGGUAAUGCAUCAUCAUAAUGAGCUCAAUGUGACUAAGGCGUUAGUCACGGGAUCAUGCAUUGCGGUACGAUUAAAGAGACUUGCCGGUAACGAGAUUGAACAAGGUAUUGGGAUACCGACGAUCGAAUCUCGGGCAAGUAACAUACCGAUUGACAAAGGGAAUUGCAUACGGGAUUGAUUGAAUCCUCGACACCGUGGUUCAUCCGAUGAGAUCAUCGUGGAACAUGUGGGAGCCAACAUGGGUAUCCAGAUCCCGCUGUUGGUUAUUGACCGGAGAGGCGUCUCGGUCAUGUCUGCAUGUCUCCCGAACCCGUAGGGUCUACACACUUAAGGUUCGGUGACGCUAGGGUUGUAGAGAUAUAUGUAUGCGGAAACCCGAAAGUUGUUCGGAGUCCCGGAUGAGAUCCCGGACGUCACGAGAGGUUCCGGAAUGGUCCGGAGGUGAAGAAUUAUAUAUAGGAAGUCCAGUUUCGGCCACCGGGAAAGUUUCGGGGGUUACCGGUAUUGUACCGGGACCACCGGAAGGGUCCCGGGGGUCCACCGGGUGGGGCCUGUUGGGAAUCGUAGCAUAAUUUAAAAUUUUCCUACGCUCACCAAGAUGCAUCUAUGGAGUCUACUAGCAACGAGGGGAAAGGAGUGGAUCUACAUACCCUUGUAGAUCGCGAGCGGAAGCGUUCCAAUGAACGUGGAUGACGGAGUCGUACUCGCCGUGAUCCAAAUCACCGAUGACCGAGUGUCGAACGGACGGCACCUCCGCGUUCAACACACGUACGGUGCAGCGACGUCUCCUCCUUCUUGAUCCAGCAAGGGGGAAGGAGAGGUUGAUGGAGAUCCAACAGCACGACGGCGUGGUGGUGGAUGUAGCGGGUCUCCGGCAGGGCUUCGCCGAGCUUCUGCGAGAGAGAGAGAGGUGUUGCAGGGGAGGAGGGAGGCGCCCAAGGCUUAGAUCUUGCUGCCCUCCCUUCCCCCCACUAUAUAUAGGGCCAAGGGAGAGGGGGGGGCGCAGCCUUGCCCCUUCCUUCAAGGAAGGGUGCGGCCAGGGGGGAGUCCUUCCCCCCCAAGGCACCUCGGAGGUGCCUUCCCCCUUUAGGACUCUCCCUUCUUUCUUAUCUCUUGCGCAUGGGCCUCUUGGGGCUGGUGCCCUUGGCCCAUAUAGGCCAAGGCGCACCCCUUACAGCCCAUGUGGCCCCCCGGGGCUGGUGGACCCUCGGACCCCUUUCGGCACUCCCGGUACAAUACCGAUAAAGCGCGAAACUUUUCCGGCGACCAAAAUAAGACUUCCCAUAUAUAAAUCUUUACCUCCGGACCAUUCCGGAACCUCUCGUGACGUCCGGGAUCUCAUCCGGGACUCCGAACAACUUUCGGGUUUCCGCAUACAUAUAUCUCUACAACCCUAGCGUCACCGGACCUUAAGUGUGUAGACCCUACGGGUUCGGGAGACAUGCAGACAUGACCGAGACGCCUCUCCGGUCAAUAACCAACAGCGGGAUCUGGAUACCCAUGUUGGCUCCCACAUGUUCCACGAUGAUAUCAUCGGGUGAACCACGGUGUCGAGGAUUCAAUCAAUCCGUAUGCAAUUCCCUUUGUCAAUCGGUAUGUUACUUGCCCGAGAUUCGAUCGUCGGUAUCCCAAUACCUAGUUCAAUCUCGUUACUGGCAAGUCUCUUUACUCGUACCGUAAUGCAUGAUCCCGUGACUAACGCCUUAGUCACAUUGAGCUCAUUAUGAUGAUGCAUUACCGAGUGGGCCCAGAGAUACCUCUCCGUUUACACGGAGUGACAAAUCCCAGUCUCGAUCCGUGCCAACCCAACAGACACUUUCGGAGAUACCCGUAAUGCACCUUUAUAGUCACCCAGUUACGUUGUGACGUUUGGCACACCCAAAGCACUCAUACGGUAUCCGGGAGUUGCACGAUCUCAUGGUCUAAGGAAAAGAUACUUGACAUUGGAAAAGCUCUAGCAAACGAAACUACACGAUCUUUUAUGCUAUGCUUAAGUUGGGUCUUGUCCAUCACAUCAUUCUCCUAAUGAUGUGAUCCCGUUAUCAAUGACAUCCAAUGUCCAUAGUCAGGAAACCAUGACUAUCUGUUGAUCAACGAGCUAGUCAACUAGAGGCUUACUAGGGACAGGUUGUGGUCUAUGUAUUCACACAUGUAUUAUGAUUUCCGGACAAUACAAUUAUAGCACGAAUAAUAGACUAUUAUCAUGAACACAGAAAUAUAAUAAUAACCAUUUAUUAUUGCCUCUAGGGCAUAUUUCCAACAAUUGCCCUUGCGAAGGAGCCCAGGUUUCACAGGAAGACCAGGCAUAUCAAGCGUCGCUUCAACUCCAUUCGUGAAAGUGUUCAAAAUGGAGACAUAGAUAUUUGUAAAGUACAUACGGACCUGAAUGUAGCAGAUCCGUUGACUAAACCUCUCCCUAGGGCAAAACAUGAUCAACACCAGGACGCAAUGGGUGUUCGAUUCAUCACAAUGUAACUAGAUUAUUGACUCUAGUGCAAGUGGGAGACUGUUGGAAAUAUGCCCUAGAGGCAAUAAUAAAUGGUUAUUAUUAUAUUUCUUUGUUCAUGAUAAUCGUCUAUUGUUCAUGCUAUAAUUGUAUUGUCCGGAAAUCGUAAUACAUGUGUGAACACAUAGACCACAACGUGUCCCUAGUAAGCCUCUAGUUGACUAGCUCGUUGAUCAACAGAUAGUCAUGGUUUCCUGACUAUGGACAUUGGAUGUCAUUGAUAACGGGAUCACAUCAUUAGGAGAAUGAUGUGAUGGACAAGACCCAAUCCUAAGCAUAGCAUAAAAGAUCGUGUAGUUUCGUUUGCUAGAGCUUUUCCAAUGUCAGGUAUCUAUUCCUUAGACCAUGAGAUCGUGCAACUCCCGGAUACCGUAGGAGUGCUUUGGGUGUGCCAAACGUCACAACGUAACUGGGUGACUAUAAAGGUACACUGCGGGUAUCUCCGAAAGUGUCUGUUGGGUUGGCACGGAUCGAGACUGGGAUUUGUCACUCCGUAUGACGGAGAGGUAUCUCUGGGCCCACUCGGUAAUGCAUCAUCAUAAUGAGCUCAAUGUGACUAAGGCGUUAGUCACGGGAUCAUGCAUUGCGGUACGAGUAAAGAGACUUGCCGGUAACGAGAUUGAACAAGGUAUUGGGAUACCGACGAUCGAAUCUCGGGCAAGUAACAUACCGAUUGACAAAGGGAAUUGUAUACGGGAUUGAUUGAAUCCUCGACACCGUGGUUCAUCCGAUGAGAUCAUCGUGGAACAUGUGGGAGCCAACAUGGGUAUCCAGAUCCCGCUGUUGGUUAUUGACCGGAGAGGCGUCUCGGUCAUGUCUGCAUGUCUCCCGAACCCGUAGGGUCUACACACUUAAGGUUCGGUGACGCUAGGGUUGUAGAGAUAUGUGUAUGCGGAAACCCGAAAGUUGUUCGGAGUCCCGGAUGAUAUCCCGGACGUCACGAGAGGUUCCGGAAUGGUCCGGAGGUGAAGAAUUAUAUAUAGGAAGUCAAGUUUCGGCCACCGGGAAAGUUUCGGGGGUUACGGGUAUUGUACCGGGACCACCGGAAGGGUCCCGGGGGUCCACCAGGUGGGGCCACCUAUCCCGGAGGGCCACGUGGGCUGAAAGUGGAAGGGAACCAGCCCUUAGUGGGCUGGGGCGCCCCCCUUGGUCCUCCCCCCAUGCGCCUAGGGUUGGGAACCCUAAGGGGGGGAGCUUCCCCCUUGCCUUGGGGGGCAAGGCAACCCCUUCCCCCCUUUGGCCGCCGCCCCCCUUGGAGAUCCGAUCUCCCAGGGCCGGCGCCCCCCAGGGGGCCUAUAUAAAGGUGGGGAGGGAGGGCAGCAACACACAGCCUUGGGCGCCUCCCUCCUCCCCUGCAACACCUCUCUCUCUCUCGCAGAAGCUCGGCGAAGCCCUGCCGGAGACCCGCUACAUCCACCACCACGCCGUCGUGCUGCUGGAUCUCCAUCAACCUCUCCUUCCCCCUUGCUGGAUCAAGAAGGAGGAUACGUCGCUGCAUCGUACGUGUGUUGAACGCGGAGGUGCCGUCCGUUCGGCACUCGGUCAUCGGUGAUUUGGAUCACGGCGAGUACGACUCCGUCAUCCACGUUCAUUGGAACGCUUCCGCUCGCGAUCUACAAGGGUAUGUAGAUGCACUCCCUUCCCCUCGUUGCUAGUACACUCCAUAGAUGCAUCUUGGUGAGCGUAGGAAAAUUUUGAAUUAUGCUACGAUUCCCAACAGUGGCAUCAUGAGCCAGGCCUAUGCGUAGUUACUAUGCACGAGUAGAACACAAAGCAGUUGUGGGCGUUGAGUUUGCCAAUUCUUCUUGCCGCUACUAGUCUUUUCUUGUUUCGGCGGCACUGUAGGAUGAAGCGGCCCGGACCGACCUUACACGUACGCUUACGUGAGACAGGUUCCACCGACUGACAUGCACUAGUUGCAUAAGGUGGCUAGCGGGUGUCUGUCUCUCCUACUUUAGUCGGAACGGAUUCGAUGAAAAGGGUCCUUAUGAAGGGUAAAUAGAAAUUGGCAAAUCACGUUGUGGUCAUACGUAGGUAAGAAACGUUCUUGCUAGAAACCUACAAACCACGUAAAAACUUGCAACAACAAUUAGAGGACGUCUAACAUGUUUUUGCAGCAAGUGAUAUAUGUGAUAUGAUAUGGCCAGAAGAUGUGAUGAAUGAUAUAUGUGAUGUAUGAGAUUGAUCAUAUGCUUGUAAUAGGAAUCACGAUUUGCAUGUCGAUGAGUAUGACAACCGGCAGGAGCCAUAGGAGUUGUCUUUAUUAUUUUGCAUGACCUGCGUGUCAUUGAAUAACGCCAUGUAAAUUACUUUACUUUGUUGCUAAACGCGUUAGCCAUAGAAGUAGAAGUAAUCGUUGGCGUGACGACUUCAUGAAGACACAAUGAUGGAGAUCAUGAUGAUGGAGAUCAUGGCGUCAUGCCGGUGACGAAGAUGAUCAUGGUGCCCCGAAGAUGGAGAUCAAAGGAGCAUAAUGAUAUUGGCCAUAUCAUGUCACUAUUUGAUUGCAUGUGAUGUUUAUCAUGUUUUUGCAUCUUAUUUGCUUAGAACGACGGUAGUAAGUAAGAUGAUCCCUUAUAAUAAUUUCAAGAAAGUGUUCACCCUAAAUGUGCACCGUUGCGAAGGUUCGUUGUUUCGAAGCACCACGUGAUGAUCGGGAGUGAUAGAUUCUAACGUUCGAAUACAACGGGUGUUGAUGAGCCUAGCAUGUACAGACAUGGCCUCGGAACACACGCAAUACACUUAGGUUGACUUGACGAGCCUAGCAUGUACAGACAUGGCCUCGGAACACGGAGGACCGAAAGGUCGAGCAUGAGUCGUAUAGAAGAUACGAUCAACAUGGAGAUGUUCACCGAUCUUGACUAGUCCGUCUCACGUGAUGAUCGGACACGGCCUAGUUAAACUCGGAUCAUGUUUCACUUAGAUGACGAGAGGGAUGUCUAUCUGAGUGGGAGUUCAUUAAAUAAUUUGAUUAGAUGAACUUAAUUAUCAUGAACUUAGUCUAAAAUCUUUACACUAUGUCUUGUAGAUCAAAUGGCCAACGUUGUCCUCAAUUUCAACGCGUUCCUAGAGAAAACCAAGCUGAAAGAUGAUGGCAGCAACUAUACGGAUUGGGUCCGGAACCUGAGGAUCAUCCUCAAAGUAGCCAAGAAAGAUUAUGUCUUAGAAGCACCGCUAGGUGAUGCACCAAUCCCAGAAAACCAAGACGUUAUGAACGCUUGGCAGCAGCGUGCUGAUGAUUACUCCCUCGUUCAGUGCGGCAUGCUUUACAGCUUAGAACCGGGUCUCCAAAAGCGUUUUGAGAAACAUGGAGCAUAUGAGAUGUUCGAGGAGCUGAAAUUGGUUUUCCAAGCUCAUGCCCGGGUCGAGAGAUAUGAUGUCUCGGACAAGUUCUUCAGUUGUAAAAUGGAGAAGAACAAUUCUGUUAGUGAGCACAUACUCAGAAUGUCUGGGUUGCACAACCGCUUGACUCAGCUGGGAGUUAAUCUCCCGGAUGACGCGGUCAUUGACAGAAUCCUCCAGUCGCUUCCACCAAGCUACAAGAGCUUUGUGAUGAACUACAAUAUGCAGGGGAUGGAAAAGACCAUUCCCGAGGUAUAUUCAAUGCUGAAAUCAGCGGAAGGGGAGAUCAGAAAAGAACAUCAAGUGUUGAUGGUGAAUAAAACCACUAAGUUCAAGAAGGGCAAGGGUAAGAAGAACUUCAAGAAGGACGGCAAGGGAGUUGCCGCGCCCGGUAAACCAGUUACCGGGAAGAAGCCAAGAAAUGGACCCAAGCCCGAGACUGAGUGCUUUUAUUGCAAGGGAAGUGGUCACUGGAAGUGGAACUGCCCCAAAUACUUAGCGGACAAGAAGAAGGCCGGCAACACCAAAGGUAUAUGUGAUAUACAUGUAAUUGAUGUGUACCUUACCAGUACUCGUAGUAGCUCCUGGGUAUUUGAUACCGGUACGGUUGCUCAUAUUUGUAACUCAAAACAGGAACUACGGAAUAAACGGAGACUGGCGAAGGACGAGGUGACGAUGCGCGUCGGGAAUGGUUCCAAGGUCGAUGUGAUCGCCGUCGGCACGCUACCUCUGCAUCUCCCUACAGGAUUAGUUUUAAACCUCAAUAAUUGUUAUUUAGUGCCAGCUUUGAGCAUGAACAUUGUAUCUGGAUCUCGUUUAAUUCGAGAUGGCGACUCAUUUAAAUCCGAGAAUAAUGGUUGUUCUAUUUAUUUUAGAUAUAUGUUUUAUCGUCAUGCCCCGCUGGUCAAUGGUUUAUUUUUGAUGAAUCUCGAACGUGAUGUUACACAUGUUCAUAGUGUGAAUACCAAAAGAUGUAAAGUUGAUAACGAUAGUCCCACAUACUUGUGGCACUGCCGCCUUGGUCACAUUGGUGUCAAGCGCAUGAAGAAGCUCCAUGCAGAUGGACUUUUGGAGUCUCUUGAUUACGAAUCAUUUGACACGUGCGAACCAUGCCUCAUGGGUAAGAUGACCAAGACUCCGUUCUCCGGAACAAUGGAGCGAGCAACCAACUUAUUGGAAAUCAUACAUACCGAUGUGUGCGGUCCAAUGAGUGUUGAGGCUCGCGGAGGAUAUCGUUAUGUUCUCACUCUCACUGAUGACUUAAGUAGAUAUGGGUAUGUCUACCUAAUGAAACACAAGUCUGAAACCUUUGAAAAGUUCAAGGAAUUUCAGAGUGAAGUUGAGAAUCAACGUGACAGGAAAAUAAAAUUCUUACGAUCAGAUCGUGGUGGAGAAUAUUUGAGUCACGAAUUUGGUACACACUUAAGGAAAUGUGGAAUAGUUUCACAACUCACGCCGCCUGGAACACCUCAAAGAAAUGGUGUGUCCGAACGUCGUAAUCGCACUCUAUUGGAUAUGGUGCGAUCUAUGAUGUCUCUUACCAAUUUACCGCUCUCAUUUUGGGGCUAUGCUUUAGAGACUGCCGCAUUCACUUUAAAUAGGGCUCCGUCUAAAUCCGUUGAGACGACACCGUAUGAAUUAUGGUUUGGGAAGAAACCUAAGCUGUCGUUUCUAAAAGUUUGGGGAUGCGAUGCUUAUGUCAAGAAACUUCAACCUGAAAAGCUCGAACCCAAAUCGGAAUAAUGCGUCUUCAUAGGAUACCCUAAGGAAACUAUUGGGUAUACCUUCUACCUCAGAUCCGAAGGCAAGAUCUUCGUUGCCAAGAACGGGUCCUUUCUGGAGAAGGAGUCUCUCUCGAAAGAAUUGAGUGGGAGGAAAGUGGAACUUGAUGAGGUGAUAGUCACCCCUUCCGAACCGGAAAGUAGCGCAGCGCGGGAAAAUGUUCCUGUGGUGCCUACACCGACUGGGGAGGAAGUUAAUGAUGAUGAUCAUGAAGCUUCGGAUCAAGUUACUGAACUUCGUAGGUCCACAAGGACACGUUCCGCACCAGAGUGGUACGGCAACCCUGUCCUGGAAAUCAUGUUGUUAGACAACGGUGAACCUUCGAACUAUGAAGAAGCGAUGGCGGGCCCGGAUUCCGACAAAUUGCUAGAAGCCAUGAAAUCCGAGAUAGGAUCCAUGUAUGAAAACGAAGUAUGGACUUUGACUGACUUGCCCGAUGAUCGGCGAGCCAUAGAAAACAAAUGGAUCUUUAAGAAGAAGACGGACGCGGAUGGUAAUGUGACCAUCUACAAAGCUCGACUUGUCGCUAAGGGUUAUCGACAAGUUCAAGGGGUUGACUACGAUGAGACUUUCUCACCCGUAGCGAAGCUGAAGUCCGUCCGAAUCAUGUUAGCAAUUGCCGCAUACUAUGAUUAUGAGAUAUGGCAGAUGGACGUCAAAACGGCAUUCCUUAACGGCUUCCUUAAGGAAGAGUUGUAUAUGAUGCAGCCGAAAGGUUUUGUCGAUCCUAAGAAUGCUAACAAAGUAUGCAAGCUCCAGCGCUCAAUCUAUGGGAUGGUGCAAGCAUCUCGGAGUUGGAACAUUCGCUUUGAUGAGAUGAUCAAAGCGUUUGGGUUUACACAGACUUAUGGAGAAGCCUGUGUUUACAAGAAAGUGAGUGGGAGCUCUGUAGCAUUUCUCAUAUUAUAUGUGGAUGACAUACUAUUGAUGGGAAAUGAUAUAGAAUUCUUGGAAAGUAUAAAGGCCUACUUGAAUAAGUGUUUUUUAAUGAAGGACCUUGGAGAAGCUGCUUAUAUAUUAGGCAUCAAGAUCUAUAGAGAUAGAUCAAGACGCCUCAUUGGUCUUUCACAGAGUACGUACCUUGACAAGAUAUUGAAGAAGUUCAAUAUGGAUCAGUCCAAGAAGGGGUUCUUGCCUGUAUUGCAAGGUGUGCAAUUGAGCAAGGCUCAAUGCCCGACCACGGCAGAAGAUAUAGAAAAGAUGAGUGUCAUCCCCUAUGCCUCGGCCAUAGGGUCUAUUAUGUAUGCCAUGCUGUGUACCAGACCUGAUGUAAACCUUGCCGUAAGUUUGGUAGGAAGGUACCAAAGUAAUCCCGGCAUGGAACACUGGACAGCGGUCAAGAAUAUCCUGAAGUACCUGAAGAGGACUAAGGAUAUGUUUCUCGUUUAUGGAGGUGAUGAGGAGCUCGUCGUAAAGGGUUACGUCGACGCUAGCUUCGACACAGAUCUGGAUGACUCGAAGUCACAGACCGGAUACGUGUAUAUAUUGAAUGGAGGAGCAGUAAGCUGGUGCAGUUGCAAGCAAAGCGUCGUGGCGGGAUCUACAUGUGAAGCGGAGUACAUGGCAGCCUCGGAGGCAGCACAGGAAGCAGUCUGGAUGAAGGAGUUCAUUACCGACCUAGGGUGAUUCCCAAUGCGUCGGGCCCGAUGACUCUCUUCUGUGACAACACUAGAGCCAUUGCCCUUGCGAAGGAGCCCAGGUUUCACAGGAAGACCAGGCAUAUCAAGCAUCGCUUCAACUCCAUUCGUGAAAGUGUUCAAAAUGGAGACAUAGAUAUUUGUAAAGUACACACGGACUUGAAUGUAGCAGAUCCGUUGACUAAACCUCUCCCUAGGGCAAAACAUGAUCAACACCAGGACGCAAUGGGUGUUCGAUUCAUCACAAUGUAACUAGAUUAUUGACUCUAGUGCAAGUGGGAGACUGUUGGAAAUAUGCCCUAGAGGCAAUAAUAAAUGGUUAUUAUUAUAUUUCUUUGUUCAUGAUAAUCGUCUAUUGUUCAUGCUAUAAUUGUAUUGUCCGGAAAUCGUAAUACAUGUGUGAAUACAUAGACCACAAAGUGUCCCUAGUAAGCCUCUAGUUGACUAGCUCGUUGAUCAACAGAUAGUCAUGGUUUCCUGACUAUGGACAUUGGAUGUCAUUGAUAACGGGAUCACAUCAUUAGGAGAAUGAUGUGACGGACAAGACCCAAUCCUAAGCAUAGCAUAAAAGAUCGUGUAGUUUCGUUUGCUAGAGCUUUUCCAAUGUCAAGUAUCUUUUCCUUAGACCAUGAGAUCGUGCAACUCCCGGAUACCGUAGGAGUGCUUUGGGUGUGCCAAACGUCACAACGUAACUGGGUGACUAUAAAGGUGCACUACGGGUAUCUCCGAAAGUGUCUGUUGGGUUGGCACGGAUCGAGACUGGGAUUUGUCACUCCGUGUGACGGAGAGGUAUCUCUGGGCCCACUCGGUAAUGCAUCAUCAUAAUGAGAUCAAUGUGACUAAGGCGUUAGUCACGGGAUCAUGCAUUGCGGUACGAGUAAAGAUACUUGCCGGUAACGAGAUUGAACAAGGUAUUGGGAUACCGACGAUCGAAUCUCGGGCAAGUAACAUACCGAUUGACAAAGGGAAUUGUAUACGGGAUUGAUUGAAUCCUCGACACCGUGGUUCAUCCAAUGAGAUCAUCGUGGAACAUGUGGGAGCCAACAUGGGUAUCCAGAUCCCGCUGUUGGUUAUUGACCGGAGAGGCGUCUCGGUCAUGUCUGCAUGUCUCCCGAGCCCGUAGGGUCUACACACUUAAGGUUCGGUGACGCUAGGGUUGUAGAGAUAUGUGUAUGCGGAAACCCGAAAGUUGUUCAGAGUCCUGGAAGAGAUCCCGGACGUCACGAGAGGUUCCGGAAUGGUCCGGAGGUGAAGAAUUAUAUAUAGGAAGUCAAGUUUCGGCCACCGGGAAAGUUUCGGGGGUUGCCGGUAUUGUACCGGGACCACCGGAAGGGUCCCGGGGGUCCACCGGGUGGGGCCACCUAUCCCGGAGGGCCACGUGGGCUGAAAGUGGAAGGGAACCAGCCCUUAGUGGGCUGGGGCGCCCCCCUUGGGCCUCCCCCCAUGCGCCUAGGGUUGGGAACCCCAAGGGGGGGAGCUUCCCCCUUGCCUUGGGGGGCAAGGCAACCCCUUCCCCCCUUUGGCCGCCUCCCCCCCUUGGAGAUCCUAUCUCCCAGGGCCGGCGCCCCCCCAGGGGGCCUAUAUAAAGGGGGGGAGGGAGGGCAGCAACACACAGCCUUGGGCGCCUCCCUCCUCCCCUGCAACACCUCUCUCUCUCUCGCAGAAGCUCGGCGAAGCCCUGCCGGAGACCCGCUACGUCCACCACCACGCCGUCGUGCUGCUGGAUCUCCAUCAACCUCUCCUUCCCCCUUGCUGGAUCAAGAAGGAGGAUACGUCGCUGCACCGUACGUGUGUUGAAUGCGGAGGUGCCGUCCGUUCGGCACUCGGUUAUCGGUGAUUUGGAUCACGGCGAGUACGACUCCGUCAUCCACGUUCACGCUUCCGCUCGCGAUCUACAAGGGUAUGUAGAUGCACUCCCUUCCCCUCGUUGCUAGUACACUCCAUAGAUGCAUCUUGGUGAGCGUAGGAAAACUUUAAAUUAUGCUACGAUUCCCAACAGCAUGUUCAUCAACAUAGACAAGUAUGUCAUCUCCGGCGAAUAUUCGAUCCUCUUUUCGGCCCUUCUUCAAAGAACCGAACAGAGUCUCAGGGGCUGCUAUCUAUACACAGGCAUAUAUUUUCAUAUGAAAAAACAGCUAAGAAUAUUGCACCACAUACCUCAAAGCCUGCCAGCAGGCUGGUGAAGGCUUCAUUCAGACCGCUUUUGGCGGACUGAACCUUUUCAACCACCGUACCCAUCAGGGUAUGGUAUUCAUCCAUGAUGGAAGCACGACGAAGUGCUUCCCUCAAAGUGUCCGGCGCCUCCGGAUUGGUGGAGGUUGCCGGUGGAGUUGACACUCCCCCCUCUUUCGAAGGGGGCUGCUCGCUCGGCUCCGGAACAGUGUGGGUCUCCGGAGCGGUAUUCGGCUGGGGGCCGGACUGGUCAAGGCCCCCGCCGUCAAUAUCCAUGAGGAUUUUGCCCCCCAUGUUUUCGGCAGCCAAGGCGUCACCCUCUGGCGCCGUCUCAGCGGCCUUCCGCACCUCACCCUGGCCCGGAGAGGUCCUUUGGGAUAACAACUCGGUUUCAUCCAUGGCAUGUGGCGGGGAGGCUCGCGGAGGCAACUCGCUCUCCAUCAUCUCCGGCGCCAAAGAAUUCCCUGAAGAUAGUGAUUGUUUGGGGAGAUCUCGGGCCGGACUGAAACACAUAAACGAUAUGUUAUCCUACAAUCUGUGAAAGGAUGGAUAUUUGGUAUCUUUUGAAUACUUACGAUUUGGCCAGGGGCUUCACCUUGGGCGCCACUGGGGGAUGGCUUCGGCAUUGGAGUCCGAGCCAUCCGAGAGGGCCAUCUUCCCCUUUUGGACGCCUGCGCCUCUGGGUCAGCAGAGGCUGCCCUCUUCUUCUUCUCCUCCUUGAGGGAGAGUUGCUCUCUUCCUCCUCCUCCUCCUCUUCGUAUUCAUCUCCCUCAUGAGAGGAGAGAACUUCAGUAUCUUCAGACGCAGCGUCCGAAGUACAUCUGUGGCGGAGGCCACGUUUGGCCUCCUUCCCCUUCUUCUUGGCCUUCUUCUCCGGCGCGUGGUACGGCGCCGGAACCAGCAUCCUCGUUAGCAGAGGAAUGGCUGGGUCUUCGGGUAGCGGAGCCGGACAUUGAAUCCGCUCCGCCUUCUUUGUCCAGCCCUGAAGGAAGAAUGGAAGCUCAGCAUACCCCUCGGAUUUACAAGUGGAAGUUAUGUUUGGAAAUCAGAAAACUUACGGGAGUGGCCGGAUGAGUACAGUCGUGGCCGAUGUCAUCGGUCGUCUCUGGCCACGACUUCUGGGCCUUAAAGAGCAGCUUUCAGGUGUCCUCCUGCGUUGUGCUGAAGAACCCCUGUAGGGUCCGAGGGCCGGCCGGAUCGAAUUCCCACAGAUGGAGAGACCGGCGCUGGCAGGGGAGAAUCCGGCGAAAAAGCAUCACCUGGACCACACCGACGAGUGUGGUGUUCUUCUCUAUCAUAUUCUUGAUGCGCUUCUGCAGCGUCAUCACCUCGUCGGACAACGCCCAGUCCAGACCCUUGUUAAUCCACGAUGUGAGCCGCAUUGGAGGCCCGGAUUUGAACUCAGGAGUGGCAGCCCAUUUGGUGUCGCGAGGUUCCGUGAUGUAGAACCACUCCUGCUGCCACCCCUUCACGGUCUCCACAAAGGCCGCCUAGGCCAGGUGACAUUGGGAAGCUUGCUCACCAUGGCGCCGCCGCAGUCUGCAUGUUGCUCGUCGACCACUUUCGGCUUCACAUUCAAAACCUUGAGCCAUAGGCCGAAGUGGGGGGGGAUACGGAGGAACACCUCACACACGACGAUGAAUGCCGAAAUGUUGAGGAAGGAAUUUGGGGCUAGAUCGUGGUAAUCAAGCCCGUAGUAGAACAUGAGGCCACCGACGGAAGGGUGGAGAGGAAACCCUAGUCCGCGGAGGAAGUGGGGGAUGAACACCACCCUCUCAUUGGGAUCCGGAGUAGGGGUGACCUGCUUUUUGGUAGGAAGCCGGUGCGCGAUUUUCGCGGCCAAGUACCCUGCUUCAAAAAGUUCCUUGAUGUUCCUCUCUGUGACGGAGGAAGCCAUCCACUUGCCCUGCGAACCCGAUCCGGCCAUGACUGGAGUGUUUGGUGGCUACAGAAAAGAUUGAGACUUGGGCGCUGGAGCUCGAGGACGGAAGGGUUGAGGAAGGAGAAAGCGUGGGGAAAAGAUGGGUUCUUAUCCUCUUAAAAGGGCAGUGAAUAUCAAGUGCCCCCUCGCAAGCCUUAAAACUCGCCUAUUCCCAAGGGGUCGUGCAAAUGGCUCGGUUGGAUUACCCAAACCCGUAUUGAUGAGAAUCCCGCAAUAAGGGGACACAAUCUCUGCUUUGACAAGACAUGUCAGUAGGGGUCGUGCCUCGAAACCCAGGGCGGAAGGACAAAAAAUGGUUCGAUAUGAUGAUAAGGCCGGAUGUAACGUUUCGUCGAAAAAAGUUGUCAGUGGACAUAACUUAUUUUGUUCAAGUAUUUUGUCCUUGUGGUUUAGGGUUGUAACUGUUUUACAGAGCCGGAUAUAGUUCCCCUGUUCAACUGCUUUGGUGUAUUCGGAGGGGGAACCCGCCUUGCAAUGCCGAAGACAAUCUGCGCGCCGGAUACAUCGUCAUUGAAGCCUGGUUCAGGGGCUACUGAGGGAGUCCUGGAUUAUGGGGUCCUCGGGGAGCCGGCCUAUGUUACGUGGGACGGAUUGAUGGGCCGUGAAGAUACGAGAUAGAAGACCUUCCCCCGUGUCCGGAUGGGACUCUCCUUUGCGUGGAUGGCAAGCUUGGCGUACGGAUGUGUAGUUUCCUUUCUCUGUAAACCGACUCUGUACAACCCUAGGCCCCUCCAGUGUCUAUAUAAACUGGAAGGGUUUAGUCCAUAGGGGAAAAAACAAAUCAUACAGGCUAGACAUCUAGGGUUUAGCCAUUACGAUCUCGAGGUAGAUCGACUCUUGUAACCCCUAUACUCAUCAAAGUCAAUCAAGCAGGAAGUAGGGUAUUACCUCCAUUAAGAGGGCCCGAACCUGGGUAAAACAUCGUGUCCCCUGCCUCCUGUUACCUUCGAUCGUCAGAUGCACAGUUCGGGACCCCCUACCCGAGAUCGGCCGGUUUUGACACCGAUAGAGAUCCAUAUGAUGUAACUCUUUUUGCGGUGUGUUUGUUGGGAUCCGAUGAACUUUGAGUUUAUGAUCAGAUCUAUCUUUUUAUCCACGAAAGUUAUUUGAGUCUUCUUUGAUCUCUUAUAUGCAUGAUUGCUUAUAGCCUUAUAUUUCUUUUCCGAUAUGUGGGUUUUGUUUGACCAACUUGAUCUAUUUAUCUGCAAUGGGAACAUGUGCUUUGUGAUGGGUUUGAUCUUACGGUGCUUGAUCCCAGUGACAGAAGGGGAACCGACAUGUAUGUAUCGUUCCUAUUAAGGAUAACAAGAUGGGGUCUAUUUCUACAUAAAUAGUUCUUGUCUACAUCAUGUCAUCGUUCUUAUUGCAUUACUCCAUUUUUCCAUGAACUUAAUACACUAGAUGCAUGCUGGAUAGCGGUCGAUGUGUGGAGUAAGAGUAGUAGAUGCAGGCAGGAGUCGGUCUACUAAUCUUGGAUGUGAUGCCUAUAUAAUGAUCAUUGCCUGGAUAUCGUCAUGAUUAUUUGAAGUUCUAUCAACUUCCCAACAGUAAUUUGUUCACCCACCGUUUGCUAUUUUUCUCGAGAGAAGCCACUAGUGAAACCUACGACCCCCGGGUCUCUUCUUCAUUAUAUUUGCCUUUGCGAUCUAUUUUCCGUUGCUUUUAUUUUCAGAUCUAUUAAACCAAAAAAUACAAAAAUACCUUGCUGCACUUUAUUUUAUUUGGCGUUCGAUCUAUCAAUAUUACAACUUUCUUCCGUCCACGUGCCAAUUUCUAGCGCCGUUACCCGAAAGGGAUUGACAACCCCUUUAACACGUCGGGUUGUGAGUAUUUGUUAUUUGUGUGCAGGGGAUGUUUACGUAGUGUUGCUUGGUUCUCCUAUUGGUUCGAUAACCUUGGUCUCAUCACUGAGGUUAAUACCUACCGUUGCUGUGCUACAUCAUCCCUUCCUCUUUGGGAAAAUACCGACGUAGUUCAAGCCAACAUCAAAAGGAAUUUCUGGCGCCGUUGCCGGGGAGACAUCAUGAACAUCUACCAGGUUCCUAAUCACAAAUCUCAUCUCCUCGCAAUUUACAUUAUUUGCCAUUUUCCUCUCCCCCACUUUACAAAAAUUUGUCGUUUUAUUCGCGCUCAUUUUCGUUCGCUGUUUUCUUGCCGGAUCUAUCUGUGCUCUUGCUUUCUAGCCAUAAUGGCUAGUGUGACUACUCCUCCUUUGUCACCAUAUUUUGAAGUUUUAUACCUCAAGCAACGUCAAGGAGAAAAUAUGAAAGAUGCUUGGUAUAGGAAUCUUACCGUGUUUGCAACCUAAAGGGAGAUGCAAAGAUUUUACUUCGUAAUUUUUACAUAGGAUUGGCUUUGCAUCAUAGACAACUCUUAGAUUUUGCCGCUAAAGGGAAUUUUAUUGAGCUUGAUGCCAAUGCUGCCUAUGAAAUUUUAGAAGAAAUUUUGGGGGUUCCACCUCAAAAGAAGGGGUUUUCUUUCACCCCAGAGGGAGUUCAAAUGUUGGACAAACUUGGUGAUUUGCACAAACAUAUGGUUGAAUUGCAAAAGUAUAAUGAACCCCUCAAACAUCUUAAUGGUAGUAUCAAUCACAUGAAUACUUUGAUUACUCUUUGCAAUAAGCGAUUGGAUAUUUUAGAUCUCAAGAUGGUAUCUUUUACUGAGAAUUUAGGGGAGCGCAAAGAGCCUCCCAGGUUUGAGAAAUCCCUCACAAAAUUUGCCAAAACCACGGAUGACAAAACUUAGAUCAUUGCUUUAUGACUAGCUAAGGGCAUGAAACGAUAGCACUUGUUGGGAGGCAACCCAAUGAAUAAAAUUUAUUUUUGUCUUUUGCUUUCUGUUUUUGACUGUUAGCACAAUUAUGCUACUGUUAUGAUUGUGUUUUUUGUGUUUUAGUUAGUGUUUGUGCCAAGCAAAGCCUUUAGGAUCAUGUUGGGUGAUAGUAGAUUUGAUCUUGCUGAAAAACAGAAACUUUUGCACUGACGAAAAUAAUUCUCAUUUUUAAUAGAAGAGUGCUUUGAGUUGAUUCUUUUUGCAGAACAUUAAUAUACAAAUUGUUCACGUGGUCCUAUUUUUUAGAAUUUUUGGAGUUACAGAAGUAUUCGAAAUAUCCAGAUUGCUACAAAUUGUUCUGUUUUUGACAGAUUUUGUUUUCUUUGCAUUGUGUGCUUGUUUUGAUGAUUCUAUGGUUUUCUUUGAUGAGUUUUUGCCAUAGAAAAGUUGGAACACAGUAGAUAUAAUGCAAGAAUAAAAUAUGAAUUGGUCUGCUCAGUACUUAUAGUAGUGAUUUGUUUUCUUAUACUAACGGAUCUCACGAAGGUUUUGUUGAGUUUUGUGUGAUUGAAGUUUUCAAGUUUUGGGUGAUGUCACGAUGGAUGAAGGAAUAAGGAGUAAGAAGAGCCUAAGCUUGGGGAUGCCCAUGGCAUCCCAAGAUAUUAUCCAAAGAGAAGCAAGCAACUAAGCUUGGGGAUGCCCCGAGUGGCAUCCCCUCUUUCUUCUAACGACCAUCGGUAUUUUACUCGAAGCUAUAUUUUUAUUCGUCGCAUACUAUGAUUUUUGCUUGGAGCGUCAUGUAUGAUAUGAGUCUUUGCUUGUUUUGCUUUGUGUUCUAAGUCUUGAAUCCUUGCUGGACACACCUAUUUGAGAGAGCCAAAAUUAUGCCAUGACUUGUUAGAAUUGCUCUCUAUGCUUCACUUAAAUCUUUAUGAGCUAUGGAAUUGCUCUAGUGCUUCACUUAUAUCUUUUUGAGCACGGUGUGCUUUAGUAUUUUUGAAUAUAUGCUCUCUUGCUUCACUUAGAUUUGUUUGAGAGUUAGUAAUUUUUAAGAAAUUCUCUCUUGCUUCACUUAGAUUAAUUUGAGACAAAGAAAUAUUAUGAUCAUGAUCUUCAUUUAUAUUUGUUUGAGCUUAUCAAAUGCAACACAUAAAAAUUAGUUCCAAAGUGAUAGAUAUCCAAGAAGGAUAUAAUAAAAACUUUCAUGAAGAUCAUUGGACAAAAUAAACUUGGUUCCGUAAUAGUUCUGAGAUAUGAUGAUGUGAUAUGUGAGUCAUGUUGAUGAGUAAUUGUGCCUUAGUAAGAAUAUUGGUGUUAAGGUUUGUGAUUCCCUAUGCAAGCACGAAAGUCAAUAGUCAUCCAAUGAAAUUAUAUCCUACUUUUGGUGCAUUAUUCGGUGUUAAUUAUGCUAAAUGCUCUCUUAUAAGAUUAUUUGUUUCUUGGUUGGUCGCUUCUCAAUCUUUUGCUAGCCUUCAUUUUGCACUAAGUAUGAUCACAACUUGUGCAUCCAAAAACCUUAAAACCAAUUUUGCCACAUGAGUCCACUAUAUCUACCUAUAUGCGGUAUUUUUUUGCCGUUCUAAGCAAAUUUGUAUGUGCCAUCUCUAGUUUUCAAAAUAAAUUACUCUUUUGUGUGCUCAUACCGCUCGUGAGGCGGUGAGGGGUGGCCGAUAUUUUCCAUGCUAGAUGUGUUAUUCUCACGAUGAGUGUUUAUUCACUUGUCAUUGCACGAGAGUAAGGCAAAGGUAUUAGGGAUGCCCAGUCCCAAAAUGAAAAAUGAAUUUACUUUAUGUUGUCAAAUAAUAAAUUCCUUGGAAAGUGUUGGUAUGGAGGGCACCCGUGGAUACGGUUAGCCAUGGAAAGUGAAAGUAUGGUGGAAAAGGAAUAAACUUUAUUUUCUGUUUUGGAACCGCCUAUGAUAUAUCUAGCAUGGGAAGUGUUGGGAACUCAAAGUCGUUUUCGUUGGUGGGAAAAGCAUGCCUCCCAAAAUGUUUUUAUCUCUAUGUUUUUUUUGCUUUGAGCUCUGCCACCUCUACAAAUCCCUACUUCCCUCCGCGAAGGGCCUUUCUUUUACUUUAUGCAAUUUUUAUUUUUAAUUUGAGUCUCCAUCUUCUCUUAUAAAGCACCAACUAAGGGGCACUAUGAUCGUACUUGAGGACUGGUGUAGCUAAUAUGCGAGUGUGUUUCAUGAAUGGAUCAAUGUUUGAGCAUUAUUGGCUAGGGAUAGCUUAUUUUAGCGUUGAUAUUUUGAAAGACAUGGUUGCUUGUUGAUAUGCUUGAGUAUUUAAGUCUCAUGUCAAAACUAGACUAUUGCUUUGAACCAUACAGAAGUCCAAAUGUCCAUGCUAAAAAGAAAAGAACAUGAGAUGACAUGUUAGGCAACAUUCCACAUCAAAAAAACUGUUUUUCAUCAUUUACCUACUCGAGGACGAGCAGGAAUUAAGCUUAGGGAUGUUGAUACGUCUCCAACGUAUCUAUAAUUUUUUAUUGUUUCAUGCUGUUACAUUAUCAUUCUUGGAUGUUUUACAAUCAUUUUAUAGUCACUUUAUAUCAUUUUUUGGUACUAACCUAUUGACAUAGUGCCAAGUGCCAGUUGCUAUUUUUGCAUGUUUUUUACAUCGCAGGAAAUCAAUAUCAAAUGGAGUCCAAACGCAGCGAAAGUUUUUGUGGAUUUUUUAGACCAAAAGGCAUCCAGUGGGCCGGAGAAGCGCUUGGGGGGUGCUCUGAGGGGAGCACAACCCACCAGGGCAUGCCUGGGGGCCCAGGCGCGCCCUGGUGUGUUGUGCCCACCUCGGGUGCCCCCCGGAGUGCCUCUUUGCUCUAUAAAUACCCCAAUAUUCCAGAAACCCUAGGGGAGUCGAUGAAAAUCAAUUCCAGCCGCCGCAAGUUCUAGAACCACCAGAUCCAAUCUAGACACCAUCACGGAGGGGUGCAUCAUGUCCAUUGGUGCCUCUCUGAUGAUACGUGAGUAGUUCUUUGUAGACCUACGGGUCCGUAGUUAGUAGCUAGAUGGCUUCAUCUCUCUCGUUUGAUUCUCAGUACAAUGGUCUUUUGGAGAUCCAUAUGAUGUAACUCUUUUUGUGGUGUGUUUGUUGGGAUCCGAUGAACUUUGAGUUUAUGAUCAGAUCUAUCUUUUUAUCCAUGAAAGUUAUUUGAGUCUUCUUUGAUCUCUUAUAUGCAUGAUUGCUUAUAGCCUCGUAUUUCUUCUCUGAUAUUUGGUUUUUUCGCCAACUUGAUCUAUUUAUCUUGCAAUGGGAAGAGGUUUUUUGUGAUGGGUUCGAUCUUACGGUGCUUGAUCCCAGUGACAGAAGGGGAACCGACACGUAUGUAUCGUUGCUAUUAAGGAUAAGAAGAUGGGGUCUAUUUCUACAUAAAUAGAUCUUGUCUACAUCAUGUCAUCGUUCUUAUUACAUUACUCCGUUUUCCAUGAACUUAAUACACUAGAUGCAUGCUGGAUAGCGGUCGAUGUGUGGAGUAAUUGUAGUAGAUGCAUGCAGGAGUCGGUCUGCUAAUCUUGGAUGUGAUGCCUAUAUAAUGAUCAUUGCCUGGAUAUCGUCAUGAUUAUUUGAAGUUCUAUCAAUUGCCCAACAGUAAUUUGUUCUCCCACCGUUUGUAUUUUUCUCGAGAAAAGCCACUAGUGAAACCUACGGCCCCCGGGUCUCUUCUUCAUUAUAUUUGCCUUUGCGAUAUAUUUUCCUUUGAUUUUAUUUUCAGAUCUAUUAAACCCAAAAAUACAAAAAUACCUUGCUGCACUUUAUUUUAUUUGGCGUUCGAUCUAUCAAUCUAUUACAACUUUCUCCCGUCCAUAUGCCAAUUUCUGGCGCAGUUACCCGAAAGGGAUUGACAACCCCUUUAACAUGUCGGGUUGCGAGUAUUUGUUAUUUGUGUGUAGGUGAUGUUUACGUAGUGUUGCUUGGUUCUCCUACUGGUUCGAUAACCUUGGUCUCAUCGCUGAGGGAAAUACCUACUGUUGUUGUGCUGCAUCAUCCCUUCCUCUUUGGGGAAAUACCGACGUAGUUCAAGCCAAUAUCAGGUGUCUAUCUAAGUGGGAGUUCUUAAGUAAUUUGAUUAAUUGAACUUAAUUUAUCAAGAACUGAGUCCUCAUACUAUUUGCAUAUUUAUGUUGUAGAUCAAUAGCUCGCGUUGUAGCUCCCCUAUGUUUUUUAUAUGUUCCUAGAGAAAAACUAAGUUGAAAGAUGAUAGUAGCAAUGACGCGGAAUGGGUCCGUGAUCCGAGGAUUAUCCUAAUUGCUGCACAGAAGAAUUAUGUCCUUGGUGCACCGCUAGGUGACAGACCUAUUGCAGGAGCAGAUGCAGACGUUAUGAACGUUUGGCAAGCUCGAUAUGAUGACUACUUGAUAGUUUAGUGCGGCAUGCUUUACAGCUUAGAACCGGGACUUCAAAAAUGUUUUGAACGCCACGGAGCAUAUGAGAUGUUCGAAGAGUUGAAAUUGGUAUUUCAGACUCAUGCCCAUGUCGAGAGGUAUGAGACCUUUGACAAGUACUUUGCCUACAAGAUGGAGGAGAAUAGCUCAACCAGUGAGCAUGUGCUCAGAAUGUCUGGGUACUACAAUAACUUGAAUCAAGUGGGAGUUAAUCUUCCAGAUAAGAUAGUGAUUGACAGAGUUCUCUAGUCACUAUCACCAAGCUACUAGAACUUCGUGAUGAACAAUAAUGUGCAAGGGAUAGGGGAAAAGAUUCCCGAGCUCUUCGUGAUGCUGAAAUCGACGAAGGUAGAAAUCAAGAAACAACAUCAAGUGUUGAUGGUUAACAAGACUACUAGUUUCAAGAUAAAGGGCAAAGGAAAAGAAAGGGAACUUCAAGAAGAUUGACAAGCAAGUUGCCACUCCCGUGAAGAAGCUCAAAGCUAGACCUAAGCCUGAAACUGAGUGCUUAUACUGCAAAGGGAAUGGUCACUGGAAGCGGAACUACCCAAAUACUUGGCAGAUAAGAAGGAUGGCAAAGUGAACAAAGGUAUAUUUGAUAUACAUGUUAUUGAUGUGUACUUUACUAGUGUUCAUAAUAACCCCAGGGUAUUUGAUACCGGUUCAGUUGCUAAGAUUAGUAACUCGAAACAGGAGUUGCAAAAUGAACAGAGACUAGUUAAGGGCGAGGUGAUGAUGUGUGUUGGAAGUGAUUCCAAGGUUGAUAAGAUCACCAUCGCACACUCCCUCUACCUUCGGGAUUAGUGUUGGACCUAAAUAAAUGUUAUUUGAUGUUUGCGUUGAGCAUGAAUAUGAUUGAAUCAUGUUUAUUGCGAUACAAUUAUUCAUUUAAGUUAGAGAAUAAUUAUUGUUCUGUUUACAUGAAUAAAACCUUCUAUGGUCAUACACCCAAUGUAAAUGGUUUAUUGAAUCUCGAUCAUAGUGAUACACAUAUUCAUAAUAUUGAUGCCAAAAGAUGCAAAGUUGAUAAUGAUAGUGCAACAUAUUUGUGGCACUGCCAUUUAGGUCAUAUUGGUGUAAAGCGCAUGAAGAAACUCCAUGCAGAUGGGCUUUUGGAAUCACUUGAUUAUGAAUCAUUUGAUACUUGUGAACCAUGCCUCAUGGGCAAGAUGACUAAGACUCCGUUCUCCGGAACAAUGGAGCGAGCUAAUUACUUAUUGGAAAUAAUACAUACCGAUGUAUGCGGUCCGAUGAGUGUUGAAGCUCGCGGCAGGUAUCGUUAUUUUUUGACCUUCACAGAUGAUUUGAGCAGAUAUGGGUAUAUCUACUUAAUGAAACACAAGUCUGAAAUAUUUGAAAAGUUCAAAGAAUUUCAGAGUGAAGUGGAGAAUCAUCGUAACAAGAAAAUAAAGUUUCUACGAUCUGAUCGCGGAGGCAAAUAUUUGAGUUACGAGUUUGGCCUUCAUUUAAAAAAAUGUGGAAUAGUUUCACAACUCACGCCACCUGGAACACCAUAGCGUAAUGGUGUGUCCGAACGUCGUAACCGUACUUUAUUAGAUAUGGUGCGAUCUAUGAUGUCUCUUACCGAUUUACCACUAUUGUUUUGGGGUUAUGCAUUAGAGACAACUGCAUUCACGUUAAAUAGGCACCAUCUAAAUCCGUUGAGACGACACCGUAUGAACUGUGGUUUGGCAAGAAACCUAAGUUGUCGUUUUUUAAAGUUUGGGGUUGCAACACGUAUGUUAAAAGGCUUCAGCCUGAUAAGCUCGAACCCAAAUCGGAGAAGUGUGUCUUCAUAGGAUACCCUAAGGAAACAAUUGGGUACACCCUCUACCACAGAUCCAAAGGCAAGAUCUUUGUUGCCAAGAAUGGAAACUUUCUAGAGAACGAGUUUUCUCUCGAAAGAAGUGAGUGGGAGGAAAGUAGAACUUGAUGAGGUAAUAAUACCUUCUCUCGAAUUGGAAAGUAGCUCAUCAGAGAAAUCUGUUCCCGUGAUGCCUACACCAACUAGAGAGGAAGCUAAUGAUAAUGAUCAUAAAACUUCGGAUCAAGUUACUACUGGACAUCGUAGGUCGAAUAGAACACAUUCCUCACCAGAGUGGUACGGUAAUCUUGUCCUAGAAGUCAUGUUAUUAAACCAUGGUGAACCUAUGAACUAUGAAGUAGCUAUGAUGAGCCCAGAUUUCGACAGAUGGCUUGAGGCCAUGAAAACUGAGAUAGGAUCCAUAUAUGAGAACAAAGUGUAGACUUUGGUGGACUUGCCCAAUGACCGGCAAGGCAUUGAGAAUAAAUGGAUCUUCAAGAGGAAGACGGACACUGAUAGUAGUGUUACUAUCUACAAAUCUCGACUUGUCGCAAAAGGUUUUCGACAAGUUCAAGGUGUUGACUACGAUAAGAUUAUCUCACUCGUAGUGAUGCUUAAGUCUGUCCGAAUCAUGUUAGCAAUUGUCGCAUUUAUAAAAUCUGGCAAAUGGAUGUCAAAACUGCAUUCCUUAUUGGAUAUCUUAAAGAAGAGUUAUAUAUGAUGCAACCAAAAGAUUUUGUCGAUCCUAAAGGUGCUAACAAAGUGUGCAAACUCCAGCGACCCAUCAAUGGACUGGUGCAAGCAUCUCGGAGUUGGAAUAUAUGCUUUGAUAAGUUGAUCAAAGCAUAUGGUUUUAUACAUACUUUUGGAGAAGCCUGUAUUUACAAGAAAGUGAGUGGGAGCUCUACAUCAUUUCUAAUAUUAUAUGUGGAUGACAUAUUGUUGAUUGGAAAUGAUAUAGAAUAUCUGGAUAGCAUAAAAGGAUACUUGAAUAAAAGUUUUUCAAUGAUAGACCUCGGUGAAGAUGCUUAUAUAUUGGGCAUCAAGAUCUAUAGAGAUAGAUCAUGAUGCUUAAUAAGACUUUCAUAAAGCACAUACCUUGAUAAAGUUUUGAAGAAGUUCAAAAUGGAUCAGUCAAAGAAAGGGUUCUUGCCUGUGUUACAAGGUGUGAAGUGUUGGGAAUCGUAGCAUAAUUUUAAAAUUUUCCUACGCUCACCAAGAUGCAUCUAUGGAGUGUACUAGCAACGAGGGGAAAGGAGUGCAUCUACAUACCCUUGUAGAUCGCGAGUGGAAGCGUUCCAAUGAACGUGGAUGACGGAGUCGUACUCGCGGUGAUCCAAAUCACCGAUGACCGAGUGCCGAACGGACGGCACCUCCGCGUUCAACACACGUACGGUGCAGCGACGUCUCCUCCUUCUUGAUCCAGCAAGGGGGAAGGAGAGGUUGAUGGAGAUCCAACAGCAUGACGGCGUGGUGGUGGAUGUAGCGGGUCUCCAGCAGGGCUUCGCCGAGCUUCUGCGAGAGAGAGAGAGGUGUUGCAGGGGAGGAGGGAGGCGCCCAAGGCUGUAGGUUGCUGCCCUCCCUCCCCCCUUUAUAUAGGCCCCCUUGGGAGGGGGGGCGGCCAAAACCCAUCUAGGGUUGGGGGGGCGGCGGCCAAGGGGUGGAAAGGGGUGCCUUGCCCCCCAAGGCAAGGGGGAAGCUCCCCCCUAGGGUUCCCAACCCUAGGUGCAUGGGGGGAGGCCCAAGGGGGGCGCCCCAGCCCACUAAGGGCUGGUUCCCUUCCACUUUCAGCCCACGGGGCCCUCCGGGACAGGUGGCCCCACCCGGUGGACCCCCGGGACCCUUUCGGUGGUCCCGGUACAAUACCGGUAACCCCCGAAACUUUCCCGGUGGCCGAAACUUGACUUCCUAUAUAUAAUUCUUCACCUCCGGACCAUUCCAGAACCUCGCGUGACGUCCGGGAUCUCAUCCGGGACUCCGAACAACUUUUGGGUUUCCGCAUACAUAUAUCUCUACAACCCUAGCGUCACCGGACCUUAAGUGUGUAGACCCUACGGGUUCGGGAGACAUGCAGACAUGACCGAGAUGCCUCUCCGGUCAAUAACCAACAGCGGGAUCUGGAUACCCAUGUUGGCUCCCACAUGUUCCACGAUGAUCUCAUCAGAUGAACCACGGUGUCGAGGAUUCAAUCAAUCCGUAUGCAAUUCCCUUUGUCAAUCGGUAUGUUACUUGCCCGAGAUUCGAUCGUCGGUAUCCCAAUACCUUGUUCAAUCUCGUUACCGGCAAGUCUCUUUACUCGUACCGCAAUGCAUGAUCCCAUGACUAACGCCUUAGUCACAUUGAGCUCAUUAUGAUGAUGCAUUACCGAGUGGGCCCAGAGAUACCUCUCCGUCACACGGAGUGACAAAUCCCAGUCUCGAUCCGUGCCAACCCAACAGACACUUUCGGAGAUACCCGUAAUGCACCUUUAUAGUCACCCAGUUACGUUGUGACGUUUGGCACACCCAAAGCACUCCUACGGUAUCCGGGAGUUGCACGAUCUCAUGGUCUAAGGAAAAUAUACUUGACAUUGGAAAAGCUCUAGCAAACGAAACUACACGAUCUUUUAUGCUAUGCUUAGGAUUGGGUCUUGUCCAUCACAUCAUUCUCCUAAUGAUGUGAUCCCGUUAUCAAUGACAUCCAAUGUCCAUAGUCAGGAAACCAUGACUAUCUGUUGAUCAACGAGCUAGUCAACUAGAGGCUUACUAGGGACACUUUGUGGUCUAUGUAUUCACACAUGUAUUACGAUUUCCGGACAAUACAAUUAUAGCAUGAACAAUAGACGAUUAUCAUGAACAAAGAAAUAUAAUAAUAACCAUUUAUUAUUGCCUCUAGGGCAUAUUUCCAACAGUCUCCCACUUGCACUAGAGUCAAUAAUCUAGUUACAUUGUGAUGAAUCGAACACCCAUUGCGUCCUGGUGUUGAUCAUGUUUUUCCCUAGGGAGAGGUUUAGUCAACGGAUCUGCUACAUUCAGGUCCGUGUGUACUUUACAAAUAUCUAUGUCUCCAUUUUGAACACUUUCACGAAUGGAGUUGAAGCGACGCUUGAUAUGCCUGGUCUUCCUGUGAAACCUGGGCUCCUUCGCAAGGGCAAUGGCUCCAGUGUUGUCACAGAAGAGAGUCAUCGGGCCCGACGCAUUGGGAAUCACCCCUAGGUCGGUAAUGAACUCCUUCAUCCAGACUGCUUCCUGUGCUGCCUCCGAGGCUGACAUGUACUCCGCUUCACAUGUAGAUCCCGCCACGACGCUUUGCUUGCAACUGCACCAGCUUACUGCUCCUCCAUUCAAUAUAUACACGUAUCCGGUCUGUGACUUCGAGUCAUCCAGAUCUGUGUCGAAGCUAGCGUCGACGUAACCCUUUACGACGAGCUCUUCGUCACCUCCAUAAACGAGAAACAUAUCCUUAGUCCUCUUCAGGUACUUCAGGAUAUUCUUGACCGCUGUCCAGUGUUCCAUGCCGGGAUUACUUUGGUACCUUCCUACCAAACUUACGGCAAGGUUUACAUCAGGUCUGGUACACAGCAUGGCAUACAUAAUAGACCCUAUGGCCGAGGCAUAGGGGAUGACACUCAUCUUUUCUAUAUCUUCUGCCGUGGUCGGGCAUUGAGCCUUGCUCAAUUGCACACCUUGCAAUACAGGCAAGAACCCCUUCUUGGACUGAUCCAUAUUGAACUUCUUCAAUAUCUUGUCAAGGUACGUACUCUGUGAAAGACCAAUGAGGCGUCUUGAUCUAUCUCUAUAGAUCUUGAUGCCUAAUAUAUAAGCAGCUUCUCCAAGGUCCUUCAUUAAAAAACACUUAUUCAAGUAGGCCUUUAUACUUUCCAAGAAUUCUAUAUCAUUUCCCAUCAAUAGUAUGUCAUCCACAUAUAAUAUGAGAAAUGCUACAGAGCUCCCACUCACUUUCUUGUAAACACAGGCUUCUCCAUAAGUCUGUGUAAACCCAAAUGCUUUGAUCAUCUCAUCAAAGCGAAUGUUCCAACUCCGAGAUGCUUGCAUCAGCCCAUAGAUUGAGCGCUGGAGCUUGCAUACUUUGUUAGCAUUCUUAGGAUCGACAAAACCUUCCGGCUGCAUCAUAUACAACUCUUCCUUAAGGAAGCCGUUAAGGAAUGCCGUUUUGACGUCCAUCUGCCAUAUCUCAUAAUCAUAGUAUGCGGCAAUUGCUAACAUGAUUCGGACGGACUUCAGCUUCGCUACGGGUGAGAAAGUCUCAUCGUAGUCAACCCCUUGAACUUGUCGAUAACCCUUAGCGACAAGUCGAGCUUUGUAGAUGGUCACAUUACCAUCCGCGUCCAUCUUCUUCUUAAAGAUCCAUUUGUUUUCUAUGGCUCGCCGAUCAUCGGGCAAGUCAGUCAAAGUCCAUACUUCGUUUUCAUACAUGGAUCCUAUCUCAGAUUUCAUGGCUUCUAGCCAUUUGUCGGAAUCCGGGCCCGCCAUCGCUUCUUCAUAGUUCGAAGGUUCACCGUUGUCUAACAACAUGAUUUCCAGGACAGGGUUGCCGUACCACUCUGGUGCGGAACGUGUCCUUGUGGACCUACGAAGUUCAGUAACUUGAUCCGAAGCUUCAUGAUCAUCAUCAUUAACUUCCUCCCCAGUCGGUGUAGGCACCACAGGAACAUUUUCCCGCGCUGCGCUACUUUCCGGUUCGGAAGGGGUGACUAUCACCUCAUCAAGUUCCACUUUCCUCCCACUCAAUUCUUUCGAGAGAGACUCCUUCUCCAGAAAGGACCCGUUCUUGGCAACGAAGAUCUUGCCUUCGGAUCUGAGGUAGAAGGUAUACCCAAUAGUUUCCUUAGGGUAUCCUAUGAAGACGCAUUUUUUCGAUUUGGGUUCGAGCUUUUCAGGUUGAAGUUUCUUGACAUAAGCAUCGCAUCCCCAAACUUUUAGAAACGACAGCUUAGGUUUCUUCCCAAACCAUAAUUCAUACGGUGUCGUCUCAACGGAUUUCGACGGAGCCCUAUUUAAAGUGAAUGCGGCAGUCUCUAAAGCAUAGCCCCAAAAUGAGAGCGGUAAAUCGGUAAGAGACAUCAUAGAUCGCACCAUAUCCAAUAGAGUGCGAUUACGACGUUCGGACACACCGUUUCUCUGAGGUGUUCCAGGCGGCGUGAGUUGUGAAACUAUUCCACAUUUCCUUAAGUGUGUACCAAAUUCGUGACUUAAAUAUUCUCCACCACGAUCUGAUCGUAAGAAUUUUAUUUUCCUGUCACGUUGAUUCUCGACUUCACUCUGAAAUUCCUUGAACUUUUCAAAGGUUUCAGACUUGUGUUUCAUUAGGUAGACAUACCCAUAUCUACUUAAGUCAUCCGUGAGAGUGAGAACAUAACGAUAUCCUCCGCGAGCCUCAACACUCAUUGGACCGCACACAUCGGUAUGUAUGAUUUCCAAUAAGUUGGUUGCUCGCUCCAUUGUUCCGGAGAACGGAGUCUUGGUCAUCUUACCCAUGAGGCAUGGUUCGCACGUGUCAAAUGAUUCGUAAUCAAGAGACUCCAAAAGUCCAUCUGCAUGGAGCUUCUUCAUGCGCUUGACACCAAUGUGACCAAGGCGGCAGUGCCACAAGUAUGUGGGACUAUCGUUAUCAACUUUACAUCUUUUGGUAUUCACACUAUGAACAUGUGUAACAUCACGUUCGAGAUUCAUCAAAAAUAAGCCAUUGACCAGCGGGGCAUGACCAUAAAACAUAUCUCUCAAAUAAACAGAACAACCAUUAUUCUCGGAUUUAAAUGAGUAGCCAUCUCGAAUUAGACGAGAUCCAGAUACAAUGUUCAUGCUCAAAGCUGGCACUAAAUAACAAUUAUUGAGGUUUAAAACUAAUCCCGUGGGUAGAUCCAGAGGUAGCGUGCCGACGGCGAUCACAUCGACCUUGGAACCAUUCCCGACGCGCAUCGUCACCUCGUCCUUUGCCAGUCUCCGUUUAUUCCGUAGUUCCUGUUUUGAGUUACAAAUAUGAGCAACCGCACCGGUAUCAAAUACCCAGGAGCUACUACGAGUACUGGUAAGGUACACAUCAAUAACUUGUAUAUCACAUAUACCUUUGGUGUUGCCAGCCUUCUUCUUGUCCGCUAAGUAUUUGGGGCAGUUCCGCUUCCAGUGACCACUUCCCUUGCAAUAAAAGCACUCAGUCCCGGGCUUGGGUCCAUUCUUUGACUUCUUCCCAGUAACUGGUUUACCGGGCGCGGCAACUCCCUUGCCGUCCUUCUUGAAGUUCUUCUUACCCUUGCCCUUCUUGAACUUGGUGGUUUUAUUCACCAUCAACACUUGAUGUUCUUUUCUGAUCUCCCCUUCCGCUGAUUUCAGCAUUGAAUAUACCUCGGAAAUGGUCUUUUCCAUCCCCUGCAUAUUGUAGUUCAUCACAAAGCUCUUGUAGCUUGGUGGAAGCGACUGGAGGAUUCUGUCAAUGACCGCGUCAUCCGGGAGAUUAACUCCCAGCUGAGACAAGCGGUUAUGCAACCCAGACAUUCUGAGUAUGUGCUCACUAACAGAACUGUUCUCCUCCAUUUUACAGCUGAAGAACUUGUCGGAGACAUCAUAUCUCCCGACCCGGGCAUGAGCUUGAAAAACUAAUUUCAGCUCCUCGAACAUCUCAUAUGCUCCAUGUUUCUCAAAACGCUUUUGGAGACCCGGUUCUAGGAUGUAAAGCACGCCGCACUGAACGAGGGAGUAAUCAUCAGCACGUGAUUGCCAAGCGUUCACAACGUCUUGGUUCUCUGGGAUUGGUGCUUCACCUAGCGGUGCUUCUAAGACAUAAUCUUUCUUGGCUACUAUGAGGAUGAUCCUCAGGUUCCGGACCCAGUCCGUAUAGUUGCUGCCAUCAUCUUUCAGCUUGGUUUUCUCUAGGAACGCGUUGAAAUUGAGGACAACGUUGGCCAUUUGAUCUACAAGACAUAGUGUAAAGAUUUUAGACUAAGUUCAUGAUAAUUAAGUUCAUCUAAUCAAAUUACUCAAUGAACUCCCACUCAGAUAGACAUCCCUCCAGUCAUCUAAGUGAAACAUGAUCCGAGUUAACUAGGCCGUGUCCGAUCAUCACGUGAGACGGACUAGUCAAGAUCGGUGAACAUCUCCAUGUUGAUCGUAUCUUCUAUACGACUCAUGCUCGACCUUUCGGUCCUCCGUGUUCCGAGGCCAUGUCUGUACAUGCUAGGCUCGUCAAGUCAACCUAAGUGUAUUGCGUGUGUUCCGAGGCCAUGUCUGUACAUGCUAGGCUCGUCAACACCCGUUGUAUGCGAACGUUAGAAUCUAUCACACCCGAUCAUCACGUGGUGCUUCGAAACAACGAACCUUCGCAACGGUGCACAGUUAGGGGGAACACUUUCUUGAAAUUAUUAUAAGGGAUCAUCUUACUUACUACCGUCGUUCUAAGCAAAUAAGAUGCAAAAACAUGAUAAACAUCACAUGCAAUCAAAUAGUGACAUGAUAUGGCCAAUAUCAUCAUGCUCCUUUGAUCUCCAUCUUCGGGGCACCAUGAUCAUCUUCGUCACCGGCAUGACACCAUGAUCUCCAUCAUCAUGAUCUCCAUCAUUGUGUCUUCAUGAAGUCGUCACGCCAACGAUUACUUCUACUUCUAUGGCUAACGCGUUUAGCAACAAAGUAAAGUAAUAUACAUGGCGUUAUUCAAUGACACGCAGGUCAUGCAAAAUAAUAAAGACAACUCCUAUGGCUCCUGCCGGUUGUCAUACUCAUCGACAUGCAAGUCGUGAUUCCUAUUACAAGAAUAUGAUCAAUCUCAUACAUCACAUAUAUCAUUCAUCACAUCUUCUGGCCAUAUCACAUCACAUAGCACUUGCUGCAAAAACAAGUUAGACGUCCUCUAAUUGUUGUUGCAAGUUUUUACGUGGUUUGUAGGUUUCUAGCAAGAACGUUUUCUUACCUACGUAUGACCACAACGUGAUUUGCCAAUUUCUAUUUAUCCUUCAUAAGGACCCUUUUCAUCGAAUCCGUUCCGACUAAAGUAGGAGAGACAGACACCCGCUAGCCACCUUAUGCAACUAGUGCAUGUCAGUCGGUGGAACCUGUCUCACGUAAGCGUAAGUGUAAGGUCGGUCCGGGCCGCUUCAUCCUACAAUGCCGCCGAAACAAGAAACGACUAGUAGCGGCAAGAAGAAUUGGCAAACUCAACGCCCACAACUACUUUGUGUUCUACUCGUGCAUAGUAACUACGCAUAGACCUGGCUCAUGAUGCCACUGUUGGGAAUCGUAGCAUAAUUUUAAAAUUUUCCUACGCUCACCAACAUGCAUCUAUGGAGUGUACUAGCAACGAGGGGAAGGGAGUGCAUCUACAUACCCUUGUAGAUCGCGAGCGGAAGCGUUCCAAUGAACGUGGAUGACGGAGUCGUACUCGCCGUGAUCCAAAUCACCGAUGACCGAGUGCCGAACGGACGACACCUCCGCGUUCAACACACGUACGGUGCAGCGACGUCUCCUCCUUCUUGAUCCAGCAAGGGGGAAGGAGAGGUUGAUGGAGAUCCAGCAGCACGACGGCGUGGUGGUGGAUGUAGCGGGUCUCCGGCAGGGCUUCGCCGAGCUUCUGCGAGAGAGAGAGAGAGGUGUUGCAGGGGAGGAGGGAGGCGCCCAAGGCUGUGUGUUGCUGCCCUCCCUCCCCACCUUUAUAUAGGCCCCCUGGGGGGCGCCGGCCCUGGGAGAUCGGAUCUCCAAGGGGGGCGGCGGCCAAAGGGGGGAAGGGGUUGCCUUGCCCCCCAAGGCAAGGGGGAAGCUCCCCCCCUUAGGGUUCCCAACCCUAGGCGCAUGGGGGGAGGACCAAGGGGCGCGCCCCAGCCCACUAAGGGCUGGUUCCCUUCCACUUUCAGCCCACGUGGCCCUCCGGGAUAGGUGGCCCCACCUGGUGGACCCCCGGGACCCUUCCGGUGGUCCCGGUACAAUACCCGUAACCCCCGAAACUUUCCCGGUGGCCGAAACUUGACUUCCUAUAUAUAAUUCUUCACCUCCGGACCAUUCCGGAACCUCUCGUGACGUCCGGGAUAUCAUCCGGGACUCCGAACAACUUUCGGGUUUCCGCAUACACAUAUCUCUACAACCCUAGCGUCACCGAACCUUAAGUGUGUAGACCCUACGGGUUCGGGAGACAUGCAGACAUGACCGAGACGCCUCUCCGGUCAAUAACCAACAGCAGGAUCUGGAUACCCAUGUUGGCUCCCACAUGUUCCACGAUGAUCUCAUCGGAUGAACCACGGUGUCGAGGAUUCAAUCAAUCCGUAUGCAAUUCCCUUUGUCAAUCGGUAUGUUACUUGCCCGAGAUUCGAUCGUCGGUAUCCCAAUACCUUGUUCAAUCUCGUUACCGGCAAGUCUCUUUACCCGUACCGCAAUGCAUGAUCCCGUGACUAACGCCUUAGUCACAUUGAGCUCAUUAUGAUGAUGCAUUACCGAGUGGGCCCAGAGAUACCUCUCCGUCACACGGAGUGACAAAUCCCAGUCUCGAUCCGUGCCAACCCAACAGACACUUUCGGAGAUACCCGUAAUGCACCUUUAUAGUCACCCAGUUACGUUGUGACAUUUGGAACACCCAAAGCACUCCUACGGUAUCCGGGAGUUGCACGAUCUCAUGGUCUAAGGAAAAGAUACUUGACAUUGGAAAAGCUCUAGCAAACGAAACUACACGAUCUUUUAUGCUAUGCUUAGGAUUGGGUCUUGUCCAUCACAUCAUUCUCCUAAUGAUGUGAUCCCGUUAUCAAUGACAUCCAAUGUCCAUAGUCAGGAAACCAUGACUAUCUGUUGAUCAACGAGCUAGUCAACUAGAGGCUUACUAGGGACACUUUGUGGUCUAUGUAUUCACACAUGUAUUACGAUUUCCGGACAAUACAAUUAUAGCAUGAACAAUAGACGAUUAUCAUGAACAAAGAAAUAUAAUAAUAACCAUUUAUUAUUGCCUCUAGGGCAUAUUUCCAACAUGAAGUUGAGUUGGACUCAAUGCCCGACCACUGCUGAGGAUAGAGAGAGAAUGAAAGUCAUUCCCUAUGCCUCAGCCAUAGGUUCUAUAAAGUAUGUCAUGUUGUAUACCAGACCUAUUGUGUACCUUGCCAUGAGUUUGGCAAGUGGGUACAAUAGUGAUCCAGAAGUAGAUCACUGGACAUCGGUCAAAAUUAUCCUUAGGUACCUAAAGAGGACUAAGGAAAUGUUUCUCGGUUAUGGAGGUGAUAAAGAGUUCGUCGUAAAGAGUUAUGUUGAUGCAAGCUUUGACACUGAUCUAGCUGACUCUAAGUCUAAAUCUCGGUACGUAUUGAACGUGGGAGCAAUUAUCUAGAGUAGCUCCAUGCGGAGCAUUGUAGACAUAUAAAUUUGCAAAAUACAUACGGAUCUGUAUGUGACAGACCCGUUGACUAAACUUCUCUCAUAAGCAAAACAUGAUCACACCAUAGUACUGUUUGGGUGUUAAUCACAUAGCGAUCUGAACUAGAUUAUUGACUCUAAUAAACCCUUUGGGUGUUGGUCACAUGGCGAUGUGAACUAUGGGUGUUAAUCACAUAAAGAUGUGAACUAUUGGUGUUAAAUCACAUGGCGAUGUAAACUAGAUUAUUGACUCUAGUGCAAGUGGGAGACUGGAGGAAAUAUGCCCUAGAGGCAAUAAUAAAGUUGUUAUUUUAUAUUUCCUUAUAUCAUGAUAAAUUUUUAUUAUUCAUGCUAGAAUUGUAUUAACCGGAAACUUGAUACAUGUGUGAAUACAUAGACAAAACAUCGUGUCCCUUGUAAGCCUCUACUAGACUAGCUCGUUAAUCAAAGAUGGUUAAGUUUCCAAACCAUAGACAUGUGUUGUCAUUUGAUGAACGGGAUCACAUCAUUAGGAGAAUGAUGUCAUGGACAAGACCCAUCCAUUAGCAUAGCAUAUUGAUCGUUCAAUUUUAUUGCUAUUGCUGCCUUCAUGUCAAAUACAUAUUCCUUCCACUAUGAGAUUAUGCAACUCCCGGAUACCGGAGGAACGCCUUGUGUGCUAUCAAACGUCACAACGUAACUGGGUGACUAUAAAGAUGCUCUACAGGUAUCUCUGAAGGUGUUUGUUGGGUUGACGUAGAUCAAGAUUAGGAUUUGUCACUCCGAGUAUCGGAGAAGUAUCUCUAGGCCCUCUCAGUAAUACACAUCAUAAGAAGCCUUGCAAGCAAAGUGACUAAUGAGUUACUUGCAGGAUGAUGUAUUACGAAACGAGUAAAGAGACUUGCCGAUAACGAGAUUGAACUAGGUAUGAAGAUACCGACGAUCAAAUCUCGGGCAAGUAACAUACCGAUGACAAAGGGAAUAACGUAUGUUGUCAUUACGGUUCAACCGAUAAAGAUCUUUGUAGAAUAUGUAGGAGCCAAUAUGAGCAUCCAGGUUUCUCUAUUGGUUAUUGACCGGAGAGGUGUCUCAGUCAUGUCUACGAACCCAUAGGGUCCGCAUGCUUAACGUUCGAUGACGAUUUUGUAUUAUAUGAGUUAUGUGAUUUGGUGACCGAAUGUUGUUCGGAGUCCCGGAUGAAAUGACGGACAUGACGAGGAGUCACAAAAUGGUCGAGAGGUAAAGAUUGAUAUAUAGGACGAUAGUAUUCGGACACUGGAAGUGUUCCGGGGAGUAUCGGGUACAUAUCGGGUCACCGGAAGGGGUUCCGGGCACCCCCGGCAAAGAUAUGGGCCUAAUGGGCCAAGAGGGGAAACGCAACAGCCAGCAGGGGCUGCUGCGCCCCUCAUAUGGGCUGCACGAGAGGGAAAGGGAAAGAGGGGAAGAGAGAAGGAAGGGGGGAUUCGACCGCCCCCUUCCUUCCCUCCUCCCUCCUCUUUCCUUCCUCCUCCGGUGAAUAUGGUAAGGGAGGGGGGAGAAUUGGACAAGGCCCCAAGUAGGAUUCCUCCUACUUGGGGCGCCCCAUGGAUGUUCCCCUCCCCCUCCCACCUAUAUAUAUGUGGGGAGGGGGCGCAUAGAAGACAGACCAACAAUUGUUAGCCGUGUGCGGCGCCCCCCUCCAAAGUUUACGUCUCUGGUCAUUUUCUCGUAGUGCUUAGGCGAAGCCCUACGCGGAUCACUUCACCAUCACCGUCACCAUGUCGUCGUGCUGACAGAACUCAUCUUCCUCGACACCUUUGCUGGAUCAAGAGUUCGAGGGACGUCAUCGAGCUGAAUGUGUGCAGAACUCGGAGGUGCCGUACGUUCAGUGCUUGAUCGGUCGGAACGAGAAGAAGUUCGACUACAUCAACCGCGUUAUCAAAUGCUUCCGCUUUUGGUCUACGAGGGUACAUGGACACACUCUCCCCCUCUCGUUGUUAUGCAUCUCCUAGAUAGAUCUUGCGUGAGCGUAGGAAUUUUUUUAAAAUUGCAUGCUAUGUUUCCCAACACCACGGGGCGCGCCCCUGCGGAGGAAAGGGCGCCCCCACCGCCCCACGGAGUGAAGUAGCCCACCCAGGGCGUCUGUCGGCCGCCGAACGGAGGUGCGGGGUGACCACGCCCCACAGAGUUGCCGCGACCAUGGCCGCGUCCGCGCCCGCGACCACCACCAGUGUCGCACCCGCGGUCACCGUAGCCGUUGCCGUUGUGGCCGCACUCCGCGGGUGCCUUGCCGCGGUCACCGCUGGAUGAGCCACGGUCGUUGGAGGACGAGGAGCCGCCGCCGCCGCCGAGGCCGAUGGAGAGGGCCGAGGAGCCCUCCGAGUGGUCGCGAGCGUCGAGCUGGAUCUCCUCGAGCAGCAGACGAGAGCGGGCUUGGUUGAAAGUGGGGAACAACGUUUACAUGGGGAGGACAGUGGCGAUCACCUGAAAGCGAUGGGAAAGGCCAUGCAGCAGUUGGAGUCUCAGGGCCCGAUCCGUGAUCGGUUUUCAACGUCCGCGAGGUUGUCCACCAGCGUCUUGAGGUGGCCGCAGUACUCCGCCACGCGCAAAUCGCCCUGGGUGAGGGCACGGAACUCCGUGCUGAGGUGCACGGCCUGUGCGGACUGGUUGGCGAGGAAGAAUUCGUGCAGCUUGCGCCACACCCGAUAUGCCGUGUUCGCCUUGCCGUGGACGACCUCAUACAGGGCGUCGGUGAUGGUGGAGCAGAUUAGCAGCAGCAGAAUCAGAUCGGCGUGGCGCCAUGCCGGCGUCUGCUGCGCGGGGUUGGAGUAGCAAUCGACAUUUUUUUUCGAAAAGGGGGGACUCCCUGACCUCUGCAUCAGAACGAUGCAUACGGCCACAGGAGUAGCGAUCGACAUGACUGGUGACGCAGUACAUGGUGAGGACGCAGCGCCAGAGCUCGAGCCACUUGGAGUAACUCCCCGACUGAACAUCGAGUUUGAAGGUGAUGAGAUUGCCGAUGUUGUUGAGGCUGUGGAUGGAGGGAACGGCAGCAGAAGAAGAUGCUGCAUCAAGGAGGGUGGGCGUCGUCAGGACAGGCAGCAGAGACAUGGUGGACGGCGCCGUGGCAGGGGGAGCAGUGGCUAUGGGCAGAGUGGGCCCAAAGGAGGUGACAACCGGGGAGGGAGCAGGGGGAGUGGUGCCCGUGAGAUCGCCGGAGGAGGCUUCGUUGGUUGCCAUGGAGAGAAGGUCGCAGGAGGGCUGCUCUAAUUACCAAGAAGAAUAAUAGAAUGGAAGACACUACUAUUCAUCAGCCCACGAAGGGGUAAAUAUACAGAGUACAUGAUGGUAACAGACACAACUAUGUACGGGCAUGCACAACGUGCACCAAGUCGUGGGGCGCGGUAGCAGAUCACGUACAAGACGUGGGACUCGGUCCCUGUGUUACACUAGCAACGGGCAUCUUCCAACAUAAACAAACGUACAAUGUGACGUGAAUUCACCUGCAACAAAAUGUCAGGUAAAUUAUGUACACAAAUUGUAAGGAGUUUGCUGGAACAAUGAUUUGGGCCUGUUUACUUCGUGUAUAUAUGGAAAACAAUAUGAACUUUUGAUCCUGAAAAUAAAAUAUUUCAUAUUUAAAAAUAAUGUAAGGUUUUGAUGUUCGUUGAUCCUUGAUCUAACCUUAUGUAUAAAAAAUAUCUAACCUUAUGUGUUCCUCCACCUUUUCUUCAGUUUGUUUUUUUCUUCUCAUCUUUGGGUUUUUAAUUGGUUUUUCUCUAAAAUCGCAUCAACUGCACCACAAUCACACUAAUAUGAGGAAGUAAUUCACAUGCUAACCUACCAGAAUAUUUAACAACCCCCNNNNNNNNNNNNNNNNNNNNNNNNNNNNNNNNNNNNNNNNNNNNNNNNNNNNNNNNNNNNNNNNNNNNNNNNNNNNNNNNNNNNNNNNNNNNNNNNNNNNNNNNNNNNNNNNNNNNNNNNNNNNNNNNNNNNNNNNNNNNNNNNNNNNNNNNNNNNNNNNNNNNNNNNNNNNNNNNNNNNNNNNNNNNNNNNNNNNNNNNNNNNNNNNNNNNNNNNNNNNNNNNNNNNNNNNNNNNNNNNNNNNNNNNNNNNNNNNNNNNNNNNNNNNNNNNNNNNNNNNNNNNNNNNNNNNNNNNNNNNNNNNNNNNNNNNNNNNNNNNNNNNNNNNNNNNNNNAUUAUCUAAUUGAGAUGAGGGGAAAUAGAAAGAACCUGCCCAUCUUGUCUUUGGUCCUUCAUCUUCUUCAUUUCUAUUGUUUUUAGUCUUUUUUCAUCGGUUUUCCUUGAGAAUCGUCUUAACUGGCUCGUCUUACGGGUGUAUCAACUAAAAUCAUGUUUUUCUUUAGUAAGUAAAUAAAUAUUGAGUCAAUUAUCAUUUUUAAUGCUAGAUGAUACCUCACGCGUUGCUGCGGGAAUCCGUUGUAAUAUAUUUCAAUGAGAUUUUAUUGUAUGAAAUAUAAAAUAUUUAGAUUAUUAACAAGUGAACCAAAUUAAAAAAUACACUUGACUUAUUCUAUUUGAUUAUUUAUAGUUGAAAAAUAUUAUUGAAUGUAAGUAACAUAAUAGAAUGAAAAAUAUUUUCCCAAGCAUGCUUUCAUGUGGUGGGUCUUUUCUAUGGAUGGUUGCACGUUAAGGUGGGCUUUAUCCCAUCCAUAAUUUUAUGGUGAUAUGACAUGCUUGUAAGGUAAUAUCACUACGAGUCAUAGAACUUGUGUUGCAUGUUUAGUUUGGUGCUAGAACUUUAAAAAUACGGAAUUUGCAGUCACUUAACUUGACUCAAGCAUGCAGAUACCAUCACAAAUACGUAUGCGGGGCAUCCGUGUGUAUGGCUAGUGUGACACAUUUUUUCACGAAACACCCUCAUCUUUUUUAUUUGCAGAAAAAUCUGACAACAGCGAUGUAUUUUUGCACAAAACCCCCUUGGGUUUUAUUAUUUCCGUAAAGGACGGCCACUGUACUCCUUGAAAAAAUUAACACUAUGAAAAGGGCGACGUCUAACUUAGAUCACGGGCUGGUCUAGCCACUACACCACUAACGUUUGAAUGUCUACAAAGGAUAGCAAUCUUAUAUAUGUAUGAAUAUUUUUUAUAUAUAAUACACAUGUUUAUAUCUAAAUAUUUUUAUUUACUAAUCAUCGCCUCUAUGUAUAAUAUUUAUAACGCACAAACAUUUGUACAUAUUUACAUAUGUUUUACAAAUAUCUUAAAAAAUAACACAUGGAAAAUGGGCCCCAUUACCUACGGCCCAUUUGCUCACAUGGGUCUUUUUUCGAGAGUACGCCAAUGACGUAUCUUAUAUUUAUAGAAGAAAGAGCAACAAGUUUAUAAGAGAAGCCUUAAGGGGAUGCAAACAUCCCUCCUCGGCCACACCCAAUUACAACCCACGCCCUAACACAAGCCUACUCUCUCGUAAAGCGUGACAACCCGCCUACUCCUACACCAGCCACUCUCCAAUCUUGGAUCUCCCUCAGAAUAGCCUCCACCAGCUGGUGUGGCGAUUUCGGUCACAUGGGUCCUCACUCAAUGUAUCUAAGGUUUUUAUCCAUUCUAAUCAUUCUAACAUAAAUGGUGGAUUGGCUAGACGGGCUCUUGUUCCAACAACCGAUCUUUGGUUGGAGACCUGAUGACGCACUUUGUAUUGUUAAUUUUCUUGUCUCGGUGUAGUACAGUGGUCAUAUUUUUUUGGAAAUAAAAAUUCCAAGGGGCUUUUGUGCAAAUAUGCAUCACGGUUGUUAGCUCUUUCCGCAAAUAAAAAAAUGAGGGUCUUCUGUGCAAAAUGUGUCGUGUUGCGCCCAUCAUUCACCGAAAGAUGGGGUCACACACACGGACAUGCCCGCAUACGUGUUUGUGACCGUAUCUGCACACUUAAGUUAUGACUAUAAUUCCGUAUUGCAAGUUUUAUGACUUCCAGUGAUAUUAUCUCAAUAGGUUAGUGGAGAUGACUCUCUUAUGUAUAUAGAAUAAGAACAUAAACAAUAAAAUGAUUGGCAAAUGAUGGUAAUUGCCUAGAAAAUGUUGUGAUUCUAUUGUAACGCAUGAACAGUUAUCUAGUUGAAGGGUAAGGGCGUCUCCUACGCGACCUGCAAAUUUUCUCCCGCGUUCGUCUUCGGACGGUGGGAGACCAACCCGCAAAUACGGAUGCAGGAGACCACCAUCCAACGCUAUCUUGUAUAUGUCUGUCAGUAAAGGACAGUUACAAAUUCAAAUUUAGUCCAACAUACACAGCGCGCCGGAUCACUCCAGGCUGGACCGCAUGCCCUAUCACAACAAAAAAAGAA
Molecule: long non-coding RNA, 73273 nt
Filed under: Triticum aestivum (bread wheat)
Lineage: Eukaryota; Viridiplantae; Streptophyta; Magnoliopsida; Poales; Poaceae
Description: long non-coding RNA (TAES_LNC004541)
Rfam family: MIR1120/MIR1122 microRNA precursor family (bases 23374-23508)
Source: RNAcentral